This 68103-nucleotide long non-coding RNA is filed under the name Lactuca sativa (garden lettuce). Its description in RNAcentral is "long non-coding RNA (LSAT_LNC007510)". The record is from RNAcentral. Lineage: Eukaryota; Viridiplantae; Streptophyta; Magnoliopsida; Asterales; Asteraceae.
UUUAAUGUGGUUUGGUUUUAUUACUCAGCGAUUAGAAAGAAUAAACAUCACCUGUUCUUGAGGGCACCAACUAGUCACCAUGCCUCUCCCUUUUGUCUCGUCAACAAACUCUGGUGGCAUCAUGGCCUCAUUGCCUCCGACAAUGUCGGGCCUUGUAAUCCACAAGAAAUCUUUCUUGCUAUUCGCCAGUCCCCACCCAAACUCGAUGAGUUGUUCUUUUGUCAUGACUGUAAUGCUUCCAAAGUUAACGUAAACAACUGAGCCAGGGUCUUUUGUGUCAAGCCAACUGAUGCAACUCUCAUCUUCCUUCCAGAGGUUGGACCCAAUGUGUUUGACCUGAUCAUUUUCAAUAUGUUGUUGCAUCAAGUGUAGUGGGCCUAUGGUGAAGGUUCUUGGAUUUAAGACAAUUAAAGGGUUAAGGCUAUCUUGUUCUAAGGCGUCGAAAGUGUUAAGCACGACAGUCGAGCCUCUAGGGAUAGCUGCAGCCUCAGUUAUGAAAUAGUUCAACAUGGUGUCAUUUAUGUCUGUGGUUCGAAUGAAACUGGGGAAAUCCUUUAAUUGGUAAUUGGAUGCUAUUCAUUCCAGGGAUCCAAUCUAAGCUUGUCUCCAAAUACCCAUUUGUUACCUCGCUCAUAUCUGUAUCAUUUCAAUAGUUACUUUUCAUGAGUAUCUAUAUGUACGUAGAAAGGUAAAACUAAAUUUAUUUGUCGGAAAAUAAAUAACUUUUAUACAAACUUAAUAAAAUGGUAACGGUGUAUAUAAAGAGAUUAGAAAAAUGCACAUAUGCAAAAAAAAAAAAAAAAAAAGUGUUUAUUAUCGUUUUUAUAAAAUCUAUUGACAACAUAUAUAUAUAUAUNNNNNNNNNNNNNNNNNNNNNNNNNNNNNNNNNNNNNNNNNNNNNNNNNNNNNNNNNNNNNNNNNNNNNNNNNNNNNNNNNNNNNNNNNNNNNNNNNNNNNNNNNNNNNNNNNNNNNNNNNNNNNNNNNNNNNNNNNNNNNNNNNNNNNNNNNNNNNNNNNNNNNNNNNNNNNNNNNNNNNNNNNNNNNNNNNNNNNNNNNNNNNNNNNNNNNNNNNNNNNNNNNNNNNNNNNNNNNNNNNNNNNNNNNNNNNNNNNNNNNNNNNNNNNNNNNNNNNNNNNNNNNNNNNNNNNNNNNNNNNNNNNNNNNNNNNNNNNNNNNNNNNNNNNNNNNNNNNNNNNNNNNNNNNNNNNNNNNNNNNNNNNNNNNNNNNNNNNNNNNNNNNNNNNNNNNNNNNNNNNNNNNNNNNNNNNNNNNNNNNNNNNNNNNNNNNNNNNNNNNNNNNNNNNNNNNNNNNNNNNNNNNNNNNNNNNNNNNNNNNNNNNNNNNNNNNNNNNNNNNNNNNNNNNNNNNNNNNNNNNNNNNNNNNNNNNNNNNNNNNNNNNNNNNNNNNNNNNNNNNNNNNNNNNNNNNNNNNNNNNNNNNNNNNNNNNNNNNNNNNNNNNNNNNNNNNNNNNNNNNNNNNNNNNNNNNNNNNNNNNNNNNNNNNNNNNNNNNNNNNNNNNNNNNNNNNNNNNNNNNNNNNNNNNNNNNNNNNNNNNNNNNNNNNNNNNNNNNNNNNNNNNNNNNNNNNNNNNNNNNNNNNNNNNNNNNNNNNNNNNNNNNNNNNNNNNNNNNNNNNNNNNNNNNNNNNNNNNNNNNNNNNNNNNNNNNNNNNNNNNNNNNNNNNNNNNNNNNNNNNNNNNNNNNNNNNNNNNNNNNNNNNNNNNNNNNNNNNNNNNNNNNNNNNNNNNNNNNNNNNNNNNNNNNNNNNNNNNNNNNNNNNNNNNNNNNNNNNNNNNNNNNNNNNNNNNNNNNNNNNNNNNNNNNNNNNNNNNNNNNNNNNNNNNNNNNNNNNNNNNNNNNNNNNNNNNNNNNNNGGUGGCGGUUGUGGUGGUGUAGAUGUGGCGGAAGAGAAAGAAACAGGCAAAGCUAUAUAACUUUCAUGAUUAUAACAAGUUUGUCAUGCUGGUAUACUACCGAUGGUUAGAGUGGUUGAUGUGAAAUAUAAGAGUGAGGUUGAAUUCAAAGAUUUUUAUUUUUUUUAAUGUCCACGAAACCUAUANAGAUUUUAAGUCUCGUCUAGAACAUAUAUAAUAUUAAUAAUAGUUUAGUAAGAGUAUAAUAGAUAUAUUGUUCCAAAAAAAAUAAUAGAAAAUAACAAAAAUAACAAAACAAAUUAAAAAAUAAAUAUAUAUAAAAACACCACAAAUAAAACAAACGACAUCGCUAUAUAUGCAUUAUGUAGGUUGUCUCCUUUGAUAAAGUUAUGCAUAUCUCGUCUAGAACAUAUAUAAUAUUAAUAAUAGUUUAGUAAGAGUAUAAUAGAUAUAUUGUUCCAAAAAAAAUAAUAGAAAAUAACAAAAAUAACAAAACAAAUUAAAAAAUAAAUAUAUAUAAAAACACCACAAAUAAAACAAACGACAUCGCUAUAUAUGCAUUAUGUAGGUUGUCUCCUUUGAUAAAGUUAUGCAUAUUUGAUUGGAUAUCCUAUCCGAAAGUAGGACUUUAGAUCAUUAGGAAUACUCUCCUCGACAACUGUCGUGGAGAGAUUCGAGAUCAGCCACCAAAACGCACGAACCCACUUCGGAAUGCAUAUAACGACCGGAAGAGAAGAACUAAGAGAGAGAGAAGACAGUCGCCUGAGAGUGAAGAAGAAACGGAUUGGUCGUCUGCCUCCGUGCUCGCCACCACAAAUCAUCACGACCACGAGCCACCACGGACCGGUGGGAUAGUGUUGACGGUUGUUGCAGAUAUAGAGGACGGGCUUAGAUAUAAUAAAACCGUACUAAUGAUCAAAUAGAAAAAGUUAUAUUACAAAAUAAUAAAAUAAUAUCAUUGUUAAAGAUAAAACAAAAUUCAAACAUUUCACUGGAAAAGGCCAACGAUCAAAGUGUCAUAAAUAUGGUUUUGGCAAGAUGGAACUCCAGAAAGCAAGAAUAAGAACAGUAAUUUCACCUUUGAGGGGAGUAUAACCCCUUUCAACAAGAUCAUGAUGGUGAGUGUAAGCCAAAACUCCGCAGGCACUCGGCGUCCAGAAUAAUACUUCUGGCAACCCAAACUUUUGGGCAGCUUUAAGCGUAAAGCUCAUGCAACCAUCGGAUAUUAUACAGGUCGGAGGUGGCACGUCAGACUCCUCGCCACCUUUAAGCCUACUGAUCAGCUCACAGAAAGGUUCGAAACUUUGCUUAGGAACAGAUUCACAGAGGGCCGGGAUGGACUGGGUGGCUUCCACAUCAGAGGGUGGAAGACCAUCGGGGAUGGAGUAGAAACGAAAAUCGGGCAGACCAUCAAGGGAGGAAGAACCUCGGGAUCUGAGCAGGCGCUUAUGGUUGUAGUGGGUGUUGACGAAGGAAAUAUGGAAGCCCUUAAAGUGAAGGAGCUUCGCAAGUUUCAUCAUAGGGUUGAUGUGGCCUUGUGCUGGAUAGGGGAUGCAUAUGGCAUGUGGCUUCUCCAUUUCUGCUAUGGAACCAAUCUGCUGCAGUAUUUAUUUAUGUGUCUUGAGGGAGAAAGCAAACUAGUGGUGGUAGUAUUUAGCAUGUUUCAUUUUAUCGAAAAUUUCUUAUAAUUAUUUGUAGAAUAACUUAUAGUUUUAGUCCCCGUGGUUUAUAUCAAUGUACAUUUUUUAAUUUUUAACAUUUCUUGUUCAUGUGGUUUGCAAAAGUUGCAUGUGUGGUCCUAAAAACUAAUUCCAUGAAAUCUUAUCAGAUAAAUGUAUAUAAAAUUAAAAUUAUACCCCUCAUUCUUUUCCUCAAUUUUUUUUGCAAUAUUUUGAUGAUUUAGGGCCAAUUUUGCAAAUUAGUGGAAAGAACACAUAGAACACACACACACACACACACUCUCUCUCUCUCUCUCUCUCUCUCUCUAUAUAUAUAUAUAUAUAUAUAUAUAUAUAUUGUGUGGAUGUAGGAAUGAAUGUAGACCAAGAGUUUAAAAAUAAAUAUUCCAAUAGAAUACAUAUUUUGAUAACAUACAAAUUCUGACAAAAUAAAUAUUUUGAUUGAAUGAACAUUUUGAAGAAUAACAAAAUUUGAACCAUGAGUUGAAGAAUAACAACAUUCUGAAAGAAUAAUCAUCUAUUAUUGACAUUAUUGAAGAAUCUAAUGUCCAAAAAUAAACAAAAAACAAUUUUUACUGUCACAUUCUAUAAUAAUACAAUGUUAUUUUUUGAGUUUUUGUCACAUUAUAUUAGAAUACGAACUUUAUAGUGAAUCAUUCUUGAAAAAAAUCUUCAUUGUAUAAGAAUACAAUAUCAUUAAUGAAAGAAUCUUCAUUUUCAUUCUUGUUUCAUUUCAAAAUGUUUAUUCUCAUUCAGGGUCACUCUCUUUUAGGGAUUUGAACUUUGAUGGUGGUUGUUAUUGGGGUUGUUUUUGGUAGAAAGUGGUUGGUGCAGUGUUAAGGUGAUGUUGGUCUUAGUGAUAGUGAUGAUUCAUGCCUAGUUUUCAACUGGCAUAUGGAUGGUUGUAUUGCAUGGGCUUGGUGCUGGUGAUUGGUUAUAAGUCGAGAUGAUAGUGGUCGACAUGUUGGUGGCGAUAAGUGACAUGGUGAUGAGUGAUGGGAAAUGCGGUGCUUGUUGCAAAAGAUAGUGGAGGGUGAUAUGGUGUUGAUUGGUGAUGGUAGUGGUUGUUGAAUUAGUAGUGAUUGGUGUGAUUAAUGAUGGUGGUGGUUAUUCUUGAUAGUGGUGGUGAUUGGUGAUGAUGGUUGUUGAUAGUGGUGGUGGUUGACUAGGUUAGUGGCUGAUGGUGGUUAGGCUAAAGGGUGUCCUAAACUUUUUACCAAUUGUCAUAACCACUUGGUUAGCAAUGCCAAAUUUAGUGAUCGAAUAGAGCCAAUACCCAAACCCCCAACCAAUUUUGGAGCUAUAACCUUUUCCCAGGCCACCCAUUUUAUGUUAUUUUUGCAAAUAGGUCCUCCCCAAAUGAACUGUCUACAAAUUUUCUCUAACUACCUUAUGACUCCAUUCGGGGCUCCAAAGAUGGAUAUGAAAAGUGUGUGUAGGCUUCCCAGUAUCGUUUUAGCAAGUGUGAUUCUUUCACGGAAAUUGAAGAUUUUGGCCUUCCAAGUUGAAAGUUUUGACCUCAAUUUAUCCAUAAUGGUGUUCGACGAGACCUUUCGAUUCAUAUUUAAUCCUACCGGGACGCCAAGGUAGGUGAAGGGAAGCACUGCAGGUUCACAACCAAGAGAAGAUGCCCAAUUAACGACCUCUUAGGACGGGACCCCAAUACCAUAAACUUUGGAGUUGGAGAAAUUGACCUUUAAACCAGAUGAUACAUAAAAGCAUCUAAGGAUUCUGACAAGAUUUGCAACAUUCCAGUGUGACCAAUCCCCCAAAAAUAAAGCAUCAUCUGCAUACAAGAGGUAAGAUAGGCAUACAUUAGUAUUAGGGAUAUGGAUACCAUCAAAUAUACCUUUAUAUGUCGCAUAUUUCAAUGCCUCCAUCGCUAUGAUAAACAAUAAGGGAGAUAGAAGAUCUCCUUAUCCCGCGCCCUUUGUCAUUGAGAAUUCGGCAGUAGGGCUCCCGUUAAUAAUGAUAGAAGCCCUAGACGAUUCUAGACAACCUCGAAUCCACAAUCUCCAUUCACAACCAAAGUUCAUUUGAGUCAUUAUGGACUCUAGGUAUCCCCAGUUGAUUGAAUCGAGAGCCUUGUUAAGACCUGACUUGAAUAAUAAUAUUUUUCUUCCAUUUGACUUAGCCCAAGAGCAAAUUUCAUUUACUAUUAAGGGUCCCUCUAAUAUGUUUCUUCCCUCCACGAAGGCAUAUUGAACUUCAUCAAUCACACUGUUAAUCACCUUUUUAAUAUGCAGGGCAAGAAUUUUUGUGAUGAUUUUGUACAUCGAACCAAUCAGGCUAAUUGGUCGAUAAUCAUCAAGCAGAAGCGGGUCCUUUAUCAUUGCUGCCAACGUGAUGAAGGAGGCAUUGCAUCCUCUUGAGAAUUUACCCCAUCUUUCAAAAUGUUUCACCGCACCUAAUACAUCACCUUUAAUGAUCACCAAAUAUUUUUCUUAAAGAAUUUGUUUUUACUCUCUUUGAAGGUUUUUUGUAGUCUAGAUUGGUCAACUUCUUAUUUGCUGUUGAAAAGAAUAAAUAAAGUUACAAACUUAAACAUUAAUUUGUUAAAUAUGUUAAUAGGUUAAUUAAUAAACAAUAUAUGUGUAUGUAUUUUGUGUACGUAUAUUGCAGGUAAAAGGACACGCGGGUCAAGUGGGUCAAGUGAUAUAUGGGUUAUACCCAAUGUUUAAUGGGUUGUGAUAUAAGGAGUGUUAGGUGGUCUUGAUAAACUCUAACGAAGAUAUUUCACUGAUCUUAUCUCUCAGUUUUCUCUAUCAUCUAAAGUUAGGGUUUGUUCAUCGUUGUCUUACAAGAUCUAUAAUAUGAGAGUAUGAGUGAUUUGUAGUGAGGUUUGAGUUGUAAUCUGUUGAUGUAAACCAUCUGUUUCAUAGUGAAUGAAAUGAUGAUGUUGGGAAGAUCUUGUGUUGAUUACAUUUCUUUACAUGGUAUCAGAGCUAUGGCUCCUUCGGUGUUCUUGUGAUGUUCGUUGGUUUGCGAUUGUUCGACUCACGAUCGUCCUGGUAAUUUCUUAAACCUGUUCAUUAUUUGUUUACAAUCACUUUCUUGACUGACACAGUUGUUGUGUAUCAUGAGUUUGUAUGAACUCUGAUCUUCGAUUUUAUCAACUGUGUCACUUUUCUGAUGUUCAGUUGAUUUAGGGUUUUCAUUAGAAAAUCCAAUCGAACAUCUGUUCUUUUUUGUUUGUAUCUGGUACUGCGAGAUUGUUGUGAUCUUGUAGGUUUCUUCUGUGACGAUCAAAUCAAGUUUGUCUACAAGACUCAUUGUGAACAAAGAUUAAGCCAAAUCGAUUAAUCUCUGAGUCUGAAAUAACUCACUAGGGGUCAGAGUUCAUCGCUGAUAAACCCUAGUUGAGAACGGACAAAGAGAGUCGAUCUCUGCACUUGACUCAUCAUAAAAAGCUUUGUGAGCAAUCUCUUAUUCUUGUUCUUUGUCUUACAUGUUUGUUUGUAAAGAUCCUGGCAAUCUGUUUUGUGUUGAUUGUAUUUUAUUUCUUGUAUAUCUGCUUGUUUCUUCUUCUGUUCUGACUGUCUUGGGCCCCGAUAUACGUGGUGACCAUCUGGACAUAAGAUCAGUUCAGGGGAAGUUUUCUUGAGUCUCCUUUCUUGAGUUUUCAAUAUUUCUUGAGUUUUAUUCUCAUUUACUUCUAUGGCGGGUGAGACAACUGAUCCACCCAGUGGAAGUGGGAAGGAUGAUCUGAUUAAUUUUGAUGAUCCUCUCUAUAUUCACCCUUCUGAUAAUGCUGUUACCUCUAUAAUUACAAUCAAGUUGACUGGUAAUGAAAACUUUAGGUUAUGGAGAAGUUCAAUUUCUAGAGCUCUUAAAGCUAGGAAUAAGUUAGGCUUUGUUGAUGGUACUUGUAAAAAAAAGCAGUGUCGAUGAGUCAAAGAAAACUAAAUGGGAUAGAGCUAAUGUUGUUGUUUGUUCUUGGUUGUUGUCUUCUAUAUCUGACUCAAUCUAUCAGAGUCAAGCCUAUUCUGAAGUAGCAGAAGAUAUUUGGGAAAAUCUUUUUGAAACAUACAAUAAAUCUGAUGGAUCUGUUGUUUUUAAUAUACAUCAACAAAUUAAUUUUCUUAAACAAAAUGGUACUUCUCUGUCUGAUUACUUCAAUAAGCUUGAUUCUUUAUGGAAAGAAUUUGAUGGUCUUACUAGUUUAACAGAGUGUACCUGUGAUGCUUCUAUUAAACUAAAGGAUCAUUCAAAUCUCAUGAAGCUAAUGCAAUUUUUAUCUGGACUUGAUGAUUCAUAUAGUCAAGUCAAAAGUCACAUUUUGUUAAUGGAUCCCUUACCUAAUGUGAAAACUGCUUUCUCUAUUGUGUCUAGAGAAGAAUCACUUCAAAGAAAUGGUUCUUUGACUUCUCUUCAAGCUUCUCAGUCUAUAAAUAAGUCUCAGACAUCUGCUUUUAACAGCAAGUUUAAUAACAAGACUAAUGUGAAUAAAAAUAAGGGUCAAACUGUUCAAUGUAAGAAUUGUGGUAUUAAGGGUCAUACCAUUGAGAAGUGCUAUAAAAUAAUUGGGUACCCUAAGGAUUUUAGGUCAAGAAGUGAAACUAAUAAUCAGAAUAACUUUGUUAAAAACUUUUCUGCUAAUUCUACUACCACUUCUUCUGGAAGUGCUAGUACUAAUAAUUUUUCUGGUGAUUCUGAGUUUCAUUACCUUACUAAGGAUCAGUAUUUCAAACUUUUACAACUUAUUGGUGAUAAGCAAGUGAAUGAAGAAGCUUCUGUUAGUGCUAAUAUGGCAGGUACUUGUUAUUUUCAAGCUUUUAAUUCUUCUGUCUGUAAUCAAAGAUGGAUAGUUGACUCAGGGGCUAAUCAACAUAUGACUGCCUCUGAGUCACUGCUCCAUGACACUGUGGAUGUGUCAAAUUUGGAUCUGCUGGUGUGUCAUCCCAAUGGUACAUCAGCUAAAAUUAAAAAAAUUGGUAACAUGAAUUUAUCUAAUUCUUUAACACUGUUUGAUGUUUUUGCUGUUCCUGAUUUCAAUGUUAAUUUGCUUUCUGUUCAUAAGGUUUGUAAAGAUAGUAAUUGUGAGGUUGUUUUUAAUGAGCAUAAUUGCAAAAUUCAGGAUUUACAAUCAAAGGUGAUGGUGGGGAGUGGUAGAGAGUCUGGAGGUCUCUAUUACAUUAAUAGUGCACCUUCAGGUAGUAUAUCUAAUUCUACUAUCUCUUCUUCUGUUUGUUGUGUGUCUAAGUUAACUUGGCACAAUAGACUUGGUCAUCCUUCUGAUCAAGUUUUAAGUUCUUUGAGACAUAAACUUAAGAUUGGAAGUGAAGUACUUCCACCUUGUGACAUUUGUCAUAAGGCUAAACAAACUAGAGAAUCCUUUCCUAUUAGUCAGCAUACUACUUCUAAACUUGGUGAGUUAGUUCAUUUGGAUGUUUGGGGUCCUUAUAAAGUGACAACUUCAGAAGGAUUUAGGUAUUUUUUGACUAUUGUGGAUGAUUUUACUAGGGCAACUUGGAUUUAUCUUCUAAAGUCUAAGGAUGAAGUUUAUGAUUCUGUUCUUGUUUUCUUUAAUAUUUUGAUUAAUCAAUUUAGUGUUAAAAUUAAAACUGUUAGAUCUGACAAUGGUACUGAGUUUUUGAACAACAAAAUGAGACAAUUAACUGAAUCAAAAGGAAUUUUGCAUCAAACAUCGUGUGUUCAUACUCCACAACAAAAUGGUGUUGUGGAGAGAAAACACAGGCACAUUUUAAAUGUUGCUAGGUCUUUAAUGUUUCAGUCUGGUUUGCCAAUUAAACAUUGGGGAGAUGCUAUAUUAACUUCAGUUUUUUUGAUUAAUAGAACACCUACUUCAGUUUUAAAUGGUUCUUCUCCCUAUGAAAUGGUUUAUAAUUCUGCACCUGUUUUUGAUAAACUUAGAGUAUUUGGAUGUUUGUGUUUUGCAUCUAAGCUGAAUAAUAAUGAUAAAUUUUCUGAAAGGGCUGAUAAGUGUGUUUUUCUUGGUUAUUCUUCUGAUAAAAAGGGUUACAAAGUUCUCAGUCUUGAUUCUAAUCUUAUCUUUGUUUCCAGGGAUGUAAAGUUUUAUGAGUCAGUGUUUCCUUUCAAGCUUAGAACUUCAUCCUUAACUGAUAGUUCAGUUGUCAAUGUAAAUUCAAAUGACCUAUUUUCCUAUGAUGAGUCUACAAAUUCUAGUUUUAUUCUAGAUAAUACUAGAACAGAUAACUUGAGAAGUAGCCAUCAGAUGGAUGGUGCUAAUGCAGACCAGGACCAGGAUGAGACUUUUCCCUCUAAUGUCAGCAACCGGACUGGUGAGGUAGAUGUGCCUCUAUCUGAUGAGUUGUUUCCAAGUUCUUCUGUAUUGACUGAGGAAACUGAUACAAUUAAUUCUAAUCCUUCUGAAAGCUUGUCUACUAGGAUCACUAGGUCUGGAAGGAAUGUUAACAUGCCAGUUAGAUUUAGUGAUUAUGUUAUAGAUGGUAAACAUAAAUAUGGUAUUGAAAGAACAGUAAACUAUUCAGCUCUUAAUACUGAGUCAUUCUGUUUUAUUUCUAAUCUUAAUAAAACAGUUGAACCUAAAACUUAUAGUGAAGCAGCUUUAGAUCCAAAUUGGAUCAAAGCUAUGAAUGAGGAAAUGGAAGCCCUUUAUAGGAAUAAUACUUGGGAAAUUACUAAUCUUCCUAAAGGAAGAAAAGCAAUUGGGUGUCGUUGGAUAUAUAAAAUUAAAUAUAAAUCUAAUGGUGAUAUAGAAAGAUAUAAAGCUAGGCUUGUGGCUAAAGGAUAUAAUCAGAGGGAAGGAAUAGACUAUGAGGAGACUUUUUCUCCUGUUGCAAAAAUUGUAACUGUUCGUGUGGUAAUAACAAUGGCAGUAAACAGUUCUUGGCCACUUUAUCAGUUAGAUAUUAAUAAUGCUUUUUUAUAUGGAAAUUUAUCUGAAAAUGUAUAUAUGUGUCAACCUGAGGGUUAUCAUUCUAAGGAUGAUAUAAGGGUUUGCAGGUUGUGUUAUCAUUCUAAGGGUGAUAUAAGGGUUUGCAGGUUGUUAAAGUCUCUUUAUGGACUUAAACAAGCCCCAAGGAAGUGGAAUCAAAGGUUGUCCUCUUCUCUCUCAAGUUUUGGUUUUAAGCAAAGUGUUAAUGAUUAUUCAUUAUUUGUUAGACAAUUUAAAAAUACUUUUAUAAUUCUACUGGUUUAUGUAGAUGAUAUCAUUCUAACAGGUAAUGAUGAGUCUGAGUUAAAUAAAGUUAAAAUGUUUCUUAAAUCACAGUUCUUAAUUAAAGAUUUAGGUGAAUUGAAAUAUUUUUUAGGUAUUGAAGUAUUGAGAACUGAAAAAGGUAUAUGUUUAAAUCAAAGGAAAUAUUGUAUGGAAUUGCUUCAUGAGUUUGGUAUGUUAGCAUGUAAACCAGUUAAAACUCCACUUGAACCAAAUUUGGUUGUCAAAAGAGAAUAUGAUUUGGAAGCAUCUGAUUAUUUAGUUAAUAUAACUGAAUAUCAAAAACUUAUUGGUAAAUUGAUUUAUUUGACUGUGACUAGACCUGAUAUAUCUUAUGCUGUGCAAAUAUUAAGUCAGUACAUGCAUAAGCCAUAUAAGUCUCAUGUUAAUAUUGCUUUCAGGUUGUUAAGAUACUUGAAAAACAGUCCUGGUAUGGGAAUUCAUAUAAUUAACUCUGGUAGUUUAGAUUUGAUUGGGUUUGUGGAUACAGAUUGGGCUAAAUGCUUGUUUAGUCGAAAAUCUGUAACAGGAUAUCUUGUAUAUCUAGGAGGAUCUCUGGUUUCUUGGAAGAGCAAGAAACAGAAUACUGUUUCUCGUUCAUCCACAGAAUCAGAAUAUAGGGCUUUAGGAAGUAUAACUUGUGAGGUAAUAUGGAUUUUAAAAUUACUUCAUGAUUUAGGUAUAAAAACUAAUUUACCUGUUGAUAUUUUUUGUGAUAAUGAAUCUGCAAUUAAGUUGGCUUUAAAUCCUGUAUUUCAUGAGAAGACAAAACAUUUUGAGAUUGAUCUUCAUUUUGUUAGGGAGAAAAUUGAAAAUGGAAUUUUAAAAGUUAAUAAAAUAAUGUCUUCAAAUCAAAAUGCAGAUAUUUUGACAAAAUCACUUGGUAGUGUUCAACAUGAAUAUAUUGUAAAUCGACUUAAUAUGAUUGAUAUUUUUAAGAAGAAUUAAAUUUUUUGUUAAAAUUAAUGUUUAGUUUGAGGGGGCAUGUUGAAAAGAAUAAAUAAAGUUACAAACUUAAACAUUAAUUUGUUAAAUAUGUUAAUAGGUUAAUUAAUAAACAAUAUAUGUGUAUGUAUUUUGUGUACGUAUAUUGCAGGUAAAAGGACACGCGGGUCAAGUGGGUCAAGUGAUAUAUGGGUUAUACCCAAUGUUUAAUGGGUUGUGAUAUAAGGAGUGUUAGGUGGUCUUGAUAAACUCUAACGAAGAUAUUUCACUGAUCUUAUCUAUCAGUUUUCUCUAUCAUCUAAAGUUAGGGUUUGUUCAUCGUUGUCUUACAAGAUCUGUAAUAUGAGAGUGAGUGAUUUGUAGUGAGGUUUGAGUUGUAAUCUGUUGAUGUAAACCAUCUGUUUCAUAGUGAAUGAAAUGAUGAUGUUGGGAAGAUCUUGUGUUGAUUACAUUUCUUUACAUUUGCCUUUUUAGGAGAAUUUACUUACCGUAUUUCACCGAUUUAACAAAUAUGACGUGGCUGUGUGUUGCCCAUGAGACUUUUUUUUAUAGGUUUAUAAUUUAAAAAAACAUAUUAAAAACAUAUUUACAUUAUAAGGUUUAUUAACUACCACCAAAUUCGACAUCCCUGCCCAACUUUCAAAUAAAGACGAGAGAAAAGCAUUACAAGAACAACGCAAAAAUAAUGAAAAAAACAAGUUUCCAAAUAGUGAAUACUUAAUAUUGCAGGAAAUUGACACAAUAUUUUUUAAAAAAAAAUCGAAAUUCGACAUCCCUGCCCAACUUUCAAAUAAAGACGAGAGAAAAGCAUUACAAGAACAACGCAAAAAUAAUGAAAAAAAACAAGUUUCCAAAUAGUGAAUACUUAAUAUUGCAGGAAAUUGACACUAUAUUUUAAAAAAAAAAUCGAUUUCAUAAUAAGUCCAAUACCAUAAGAAUGAUUCAAGCUUUUGAAAAUAAUAAUAAUAAUAAAAUACAAGGCAAUUGAUUUCAGAUCUUGAAAAAAAAAAUUCAACUCAAACCAACCAUUUCCUUUUCGAUGUGUUAUGGGUACUGAAACAAAAAAGAAAUAUGUGUGGUGAACUGCUAGGAUUGAGGUGUCCUGUAAUUAAUAGUGCACAUUUUUUUCGGUGAUGAACUAAUUUAACACAACCUCCAACGAUGUUAGGCAAUUACGAUUGAGAUAUAUUUUUCAUUCCGCUUUAAAUUAAAAACUACACCGUCCAUUCCUCUUUGUCCACCUACUACACCCACCGUGAAAGAUAUGCCGCCCAUCAUAACCGAUCCUACUAUAGUACUAUGGUCCACGACUAGGGCAACGUGUGGGUGGUAUUUUUCAUCAUGGUUUUGAUUUACACGACACAUCUCAUUACCCAUAUCUAAACGAUCAAGGUGUAUUGUAAAGCUUAAAAACGUGACUUUAUUUAAUAGGUUUUAAGAAAUCGCUACAAAAUUAACCCCUACGGCGAUGACAAUUUCUGACCUUACACCGACGACAAGUCGUCAUAAUAAGCUAAACAAACGACUUGUUGUCGGCAUAGGCUUGUCGGUAUAGGUCAUAGGUGUCGUCGGCAUAAGUGUCGUUCGUAUAGGUGUCGUCGACAUAGGUUCCCCUAUUCCGACGACAAGUAUUCAAUAUAACUUUCGUCGACGAUAUUUAAAAAAAAAAUAAAGUUUUAUUAAUUACCUGUGACGACGACAUGUCGUCGCGAUAGCCACUGGUUGUUUUUGUUGUUUUUUUUGUACAGAUUCUGUACAUUACUAUUACUGCAUUUUUAAAAUAUUCAAAAAACUUUGCAGAAUAAAUCAAUUGAGAUACAAUAGCUAGCUACCAUUGUUCAAAUUCAAAACAUCAAAUUGAAGUUUAUUAUUACAAUAAGUUGUUAACAUUGUUCAAAAUAAUAAAAAACAUCAACCAUCAUUAUUAUCAUCAUUAUCAUCAUCAUUUUUUUUAUUCUUCUUCCCGUUCUUCAUCCAUCAUAUCGACAAAUUGUUGAGAGGUACUUCCAUGUGUGUUAGAGUUGAAUAGAAAAUCAAGAAAUGGUGGUGGUUGAAAGUCAGGAAUAUAUGCCGCCAAUGAUGCAUUAUAUUGUUGCAAGUAUUCUUGCAUUUAUUGUGCAUCAAAUUGGGAUUGAGAUUAGGACGAUAUGGAAGUGGAAGGUUGUUCAUUUGGAAUUAAAACGAAGUUGGCGGUUGGUCUUCUACCCACUCCGCGAGCAUGCCUGCGUCUCGUCCCAAGGGCACAUUCUAAACAUUCUUCUUCAUUACUUCUACGCCUUCUCCGACCUCGCUUUGCAUUUUCUCAUACUCAUAUUGAAUUUUCUCUUAAAAUAAAGAAAUUAAUAAACAUAUGAUAAUUAAAGCAAACAACUAAAUUUAAACAUUAAAAUAAUAAUAUUAUACAUUAAACAAAAAAAACUAUAAUUAACAAUAACUAGAAAAGAUCCCCCGACGUUGACGGGGUUGGUAGGUAUUGCUUUGUAAAGUAAAAUAGUAUGUUGAAUUGCAUUGAGAUAAUCUAGUAAAGGAAGAUAAACAAUGUCAUAUAAUUACAUAAGUAAAGAAAUCUAAAUAAUUAUUUCUUGCAAUAAAUGAGGAAAAUAAAGAAAUUAUCUCACAAAUUGAACUUUAUUACCAUGUAUGGCAGCGGACGGAAACCAAUCCAGAAAAUAUAGACCGUUGUUUUUUUGUCCGUUAAUGUGAGGAUAAUUUGGUCUUUUAAGGUAGUAGGGACUAAAUUUGUGACGACAGGUAAACAUAUGGACCAUUUAUGUAAUUUUGGCCGUGGCGGUGUUGGUGGUAAUGACAACUGGUGGGUGGCUUUAUGGUAUUGGGUGGGGAUUUUCUAAUAAAUAAAACAUUAAUUUAAAACCAAAAAGAGAAAUAUAAAUUAAUAAAAAAAUCGGAUUAGGAGUAAAAGAGUGAUUUCGGUUUCUAUCGUUGUCAUCAAUGUGUUAAAUUUGGUAAACCACAGGGACUAAUUGUGUAAUUUUGUUUAACAAUAAUAAUAACAAUAAUAAUAAGGGACCAUUUCUGCCAAAAGACUAAAUACUAAUAAUAUGUAAUAAAAGGCGAGAGUUAUGAAAAAUUCAAAUGAAAGUGAAAGGGUUGUUUGUGAACAAAAGCAUAAAGGUGCAGGGUCAAUGUUGUAAGUAGUUUUUGAAAACCAACAUAAGUUGGAGGACCAAAAGUGACAAAAAAAAUUGACAAAAAAAAAGGAGCAAACAUACAUAACCUUAGGGACCAAUCUUGCCAAACACUUAGGAAGUUUAUUAUUCCUAACUUUCAUAUCUUUAAUAUAUAUAUUAAUUUGGUAGAUAUUCUUAAAUUGAAAGUACAAUUUUGUAAUAUAAUUGAAUGGAAGUAAUAUAAAAAUAAGUUAAGUACAUUGAUAUAUUUGCAUUUAACUUACUCUCUCUCUCUCUCUCUCUCUCUCUCUCUCUCUCUCUCUCUCUCUCUCUCUCUAUCCACGGGUGGCAGAAUCAGUGAAUCUUCUUUUUUCCAAAAAAAAAAGCAAAAAAAAAAAGAUAGUAUUAUUAAUUUAGUGAUAUGGAAGUUGGUAUCUGCUUAAGAAAGGUAGUUGGUUAUUACAAUGCUAGAACAGUUGAAUUCAUUAUUCAUACCCUUUUUAUUACUUUUAUUAAUUUGUUUAAUAAAUGGUAGUUGCUCUUGUUGCACAUCCUGUUUAUCUUGCAAUAGAACAUAUUUGAUUACUAUGCAUUUGUUAAUGGGCGAAUGUACUAUACUUUUAACAAUCCCCGCAACGCUAGGAAACCUUUCUAGUUUCAUAUUCAACUAGAAAGGUUACCACCGCUACGCGAGGGCCAGAAGCUUUCAAUGUUGUUUCCGAAUUGAUAAAUAUGACAGACAUAGAAAGUGCAAGGAUGAAAAGUCCGGGCUUUGCCCCGGACAAAAAAUGUAAAAGUUUUGACUGCAAGGACCAGAAGUCUAAAAAUGGCUAAAGAAGUAAAGGGGUAGGAAUUAGCAACUUUUUAGAAAAGGGAUCAAAUUUGUUAAACCGUUAAAGUUUUGUGGUCAAACUUUAAAUAUUAAAAGGUUCCAAAAAAGUGUACAAAUAUUGAUUGCAAAGAGCAAAAGUGUCAAAAUGGGUAAAGAAUAAUGAGCAAAGUUGCCAAAAAACAUCCAAAUUUAGUAUUUCUAACUUCCAACAAUAAUACAGGGACCAAUUCUGCCAAAAAAAUAGGAAGUUGAAUGAAACACAAACAAAAUGACAUGAAUAAAUUAGUUAAAGAAGUAUAGGGACUGGAUAUGUAAAUCAAGGGACCAAACUUGGACAAAAUGUCCCAAGUUUACUAUUCUUUUCUUCCACAACUUUAAUAUAUAUAUAUAUAUAUAUAUAUAUAUAUAUAUAUAUAAUAAGCNAGUGAAAAACAAUAAAUAUAUUUAUACAACUGUUAACAACAAUUGUAAAUAAUAAUAAUAAUAAUAAUAAUAUAUUUUAUUACCUCUAAAUAACGUCGUUGGGCAUAGGAUCUACAUCCGUGAGCACUUGAGUGCGGAAGUUUCGACCUAGUAACAUUAUUUUUUUACAGACGUGGGUUUAUAUUUAUCAAUCAAGAACAACAAAUCAAUCAUUUUAUUCCAAGCUCCGGCGGUCCAAUCAGUCGAUGUACAUCUUCUUGCCCUUUCCACAACAUGAUAUCCACCAACUCUAUAAAAAUGCUUUUUCAUCUAAUACUUGCGCUCUCGAUAAGCUCUUUGCAUACUGCUUGGAUACCCGCUCAAACAGGUUCCUACAAAUCUGUGCCCCGAUACCUAUCAAGAUCAAAAUAAGUCUACAAAAGAAAAAACAUAUUUGAUUAGUAAAAAAUAUUUAGUAAGUGUAAAAUUCAAUUAAUAUAAAAUAUAUUGUAUACUUACUUCUAGCUUAGUGUAACAACCCGAUGUUUCAACUCUUUGUAAUGACCUAAAAAGUCAAGUAUUGUAACCACUUUUGAGUUAAUAAAAUUAACUUUGAUAAUAAAAUGUCCAAAAAGUUCUAUUUAAAUUCCCUCUAUGUUUAAAUGUCAUUAAACCAUGAUCGUACGUAAAAAGAACGCCCAAAUCCGGCUUCGUAUAUUGAAGUUAAGAUUUUUCCAAGUUCGGCUUAGGAGCAGACAGCUAAAAUCUCGAAUCGGAGAUCGAACGACUUUUGGCCGGAAUGACCUAAACAAGAAUCGAAGGUCUCGACAAUGGUAUUUCAGCGGUAAAAAGUCUGGCAAAAACCGACGUCAGAUAAAGAAGUUAUGAAUUUUUAAAGAAAUUCCUUAAACACAACGAUUUAUAAAAUAAAUAAUAAAAAUAAUUUCGAAAUUUGCCAACGGAGACUAAACGAAAGUUGUAGAGCGUAGUCUCACCUACGCGUGGAUAUAAAGACCAUCAAAAACGGAGUUCGUAUGAGGAAGAUAUGAAUUUUUGAAGUUUAUUAAAUAAAUUAUAAUUAUAUUUAAAUCAAAAUGCUAGUAAUAUCCGAAGAGGAGUCAGCGUCCUCAUCCGAGGUACGCGCCGCAUAACCCUGUACGCCCAGCGUACCCGAGGGCCUUGGUCUCGGUCCGUCCACGUCGCCCCUAUGCGAAGCUAUCCGACCCGCCGUCCCAUCCGAAGCCGAGGCAGUCGAGGACUCGGUCAUGCAUGACGUACGAGUACGCGCUGCGUACGAGCGUACGCCCCGCGUACCGAGGCUUCUCAGACCCCCUAUAAAUAGAAAUGCGAGGGUUCCGGAAAAAUCACCCCAUUUCUCUCAUUUCUCUCACGAUCUUGCCUCGUUUUCCGUGCCCGCACUACCCCGAAGCUCUGGUCUUUUUGCUCAAGUCCCGAGGGUCGAUUUUACUCCCGAGAUUCCCGAGAAUCCCGAGAAAAAUCCGUUUCCCGAGACGAAACUCUGCCCGGUUUUCCAUCUCGCUAUCUUCAAACUUUCAAGUGAGUUCAUACCCCUNNNNNNNNNNNNNNNNNNNNNNNNNNNNNNNNNNNNNNNNNNNNNNNNNNNNNNNNNNNNNNNNNNNNNNNNNNNNNNNNNNNNNNNNNNNNNNNNNNNNNNNNNNNNNNNNNNNNNNNNNNNNNNNNNNNNNNNNNNNNNNNNNNNNNNNNNNNNNNNNNNNNNNNNNNNNNNNNNNNNNNNNNNNNNNNNNNNNNNNNNNNNNNNNNNNNNNNNNNNNNNNNNNNNNNNNNNNNNNNNNNNNNNNNNNNNNNNNNNNNNNNNNNNNNNNNNNNNNNNNNNNNNNNNNNNNNNNNNNNNNNNNNNNNNNNNNNNNNNNNNNNNNNNNNNNNNNNNNNNNNNNNNNNNNNNNNNNNNNNNNNNNNNNNNNNNNNNNNNNNNNNNNNNNNNNNNNNNNNNNNNNNNNNNNNNNNNNNNNNNNNNNNNNNNNNNNNNNNNNNNNNNNNNNNNNNNNNNNNNNNNNNNNNNNNNNNNNNNNNNNNNNNNNNNNNNNNNNNNNNNNNNNNNNNNNNNNNNNNNNNNNNNNNNNNNNNNNNNNNNNNNNNNNNNNNNNNNNNNNNNNNNNNNNNNNNNNNNNNNNNNNNNNNNNNNNNNNNNNNNNNNNNNNNNNNNNNNNNNNNNNNNNNNNNNNNNNNNNNNNNNNNNNNNNNNNNNNNNNNNNNNNNNNNNNNNNNNNNNNNNNNNNNNNNNNNNNNNNNNNNNNNNNNNNNNNNNNNNNNNNNNNNNNNNNNNNNNNNNNNNNNNNNNNNNNNNNNNNNNNNNNNNNNNNNAGCACGUCGGUUGCUUGCGAUUUUCGGUCUUAGAGACUGCCAGUUAUGUCAGGAAAAUAAGGGUUUUUCCUGUAUACAAACCAAACAACUAAUAGGAAAAUAAGGGAUUUUCUCGGUACAAUUAGUUGCAACUUAUAACACGAACAUUCAUAUGCAUUUCAUACUUUUAUAAGAAAAUAAGGGUUUUUCGUGGAAAACACAACAAAUCAUACCUCAACCAUUAGGGAAAAUAUGGGAUUUUCUGGAUCUAAUACAUUCAUUUUCAACACAACAAAUCGUAACUCUUUACAUUCGAAACACUGCGUUUUCUGGAAAACACACACGAACUUUCGAAUGGCGUACAUUUUCUCAAAACACUACUCAUGAACUCACCAACUUAAUUGUUGACACUUUUUCUUUGAAAUAACUUGUAUUCUCAAGGAACCGCUAAGCAGAUUUGGAAAUCAAAUUUUGGAGAUUAACGUGCUGACGUUAAUUACUUCUUUUGAAAGAUGUUUAUGUAUUUAACUUUUGAACAUGUAACGAAUACAAUUAUGUAAACAUUUUGGAAACUUUAAUAUAUAUGGUGGUGUGUACUUUCCUUUCUAUGAACUGUUAUGAUACUGAAUAUGACGUCCUCCGCCCCCGAACGUUUCCGUCGUUCUGGUUUGGGGGUGUGACACUUAGGAUACAAAUCAUCUUUGUACAUGGUAGGAACUUGAGGCCAAGUAUUAUAAUGCAACGGUACCUCUGAUCCCACCAGAUUUGAGAUCAAUCUGACAAACAAUUGUCUGUUGUCCCCCACGAAUCGAUACGUCCGCCCAGAGGUAUCAAGUCUCACAACCAAAGAAUUACAAUCAUUAUUUUCAAACUCAUCGUACAAAUUUAGGUUUCUCCCUUUGCCACACACAUCCACAAUCUUUUCCUUUGUUAUAUUUACGUAUAGAAUUGGAAAUUUAGAAAUUUAAAACUUUAAUAUAUCUACUGCUUAAGAAUUCCAUGUAACUUACAAGAUUGGCAACCCGAUGGUACACCGCGUGCGACCCCGUGUGGAAGUCUAUCCCCACCGUCUCCUCCAUGUCCCCUUGUGUUUUCUGCCAUCAGUUUAACAAAUAUUAUAAGCAUUCAAAAUAUAUAAUAAAGCUACUUAUAAAUAAGCAACAUUUGAAAAUUUAACUAAUAUUUUAAACAAUCAGGAUAUAUAAUAACUAUAACAUAUCGUCAAUCAGAUUCUUCACUAGAACAGUAUACAUGUACAACAUCAUCAUCACUGUUAUAGUUUUCAUGAUUUAUUUCUUCAUCUAAAUAUUACGUAUCACCACCACCAUCAUCAUCGUUAAUGAAACUGUCAUCGUUUAUAGUAGGAGCAACAUUUCUCCUAGCAACUACACUUGGUUCACCAACUUCACCUACAAUCAUCUUCGUAGGCAAAGUGCCUAAGUCGGCAACCAAGGUAAAAUCAGUUGAUUGAGUGUUGUUCACGACAUUUAUCUCAUUUGCAACACCGAUACCUGGAUGAUUCCAAAGUUUUCGAUGACGAACCUCUUCCACAACUUUCCAGUUAUUAUUUUGAGUAGGAUCUUGGAGAUAAAAUACUUGUUUAGCUUGUGUGGCUAAGAUGUCUUAUUUAUCAUCAAACCACGUUUUACCGACAUACCAUUCAUGACUAGUAUCGAUAACAAGCAUAUUAUUUAUAGUCUUUAAAUGUCCAUUACGUAAUGACGCAUUGAACCAUUUACCCUGAAAGAGUACAACUAAUUUACCAUAUAAAAAAUGCAACUCUAUGAUUUCCUUUAUUUGACCAUAGAUAGGUGUAUCGUCUUCUCCGAAUGUAACAACACCACUAUUUUGAGUAGUGCGUCAAAGAUCACGGCUAUCACGACAAAUCGAACACCAUUUACUAUGCACGCAGUGUAAGAAUAUGCACGAAACAGAGCAUGUGCCAACGCCUUUAAUUCGUCAAUAUAGUCCGAAGGCAUAUCUUUUUGGAGAUAACAAAUCUGUAAGGUAAUAUAAGAUUGUAUGUUUAAGUAAUAAAUUAGUUUUAGAUUAGUUUUACAUUAUAACUAUAUAACGUACUUAACUUUUCUUUAAACCAUGAAGGAAAUUGCAUUUUGAAAUCACUUUCAGCCAAUUCUGAUUUGAAUUCACUAGAUACGAGACAAAACAAUUAGAAUAGUUAAAAUAUAUUAUAACACUAUCGAAAAUGUAGUUAAUAAAUGAGAAACUUACGAUUUGUAGCUUCAUAUCUCAUGAUCAUCGCAAUUGUUUAGUGCAAACCAAUGCAAUGAUUUUUUUGGCCUCUUUAUAAAGUUCAACGAUUUUCUUAGUUGACGUUGUUCGACAUUGUGAUGAGAACAUAGAAAAUUGUCUUUUUGGAAGGUCGGGAUCAUCAUUUCUUUCAGCAUGGUUGUAUUUAUUUUGCAUACCCUCAAUAUACAUAGAUUAGAAUGUCAAAGCUUCGUCAACAACAUAACCCUCUAUUAUUGAACUUUCUGGUUUGGCUUUGUUUCUGACAUAAUUUUUAAUUUUUACAUAUAUCUUUUGAAAGGAUACAUCCAUCUCAUGUGUGUAGGACCUCGAAGAAUGCUGUCACACCCCCAAAUCAGAAUAGAGGAAACGUUCAGGGGUGGAUGACGUCAUGUACAAUAUCAUAACAGUUGAGUAAUAGUAAAGCAAGCAAAAACAACCAUCAUAAAUAUAAUUUAAAAGGUUACAUUGUUGCGUGAGUUACAUGUUUCCAAAUAAAUUACAGUAUGAUGACAAAAUGAGUUUUAACCGGUGCCUUAGCGUCCCGUCCUCAAAAGCUGGUGAUUACCUAUAUAACUGAUUCCCUGAGAAUACAAGUUGUUUUGAAAAGGUGACAACAAUUAAGUUGGUGAGUUCAUAAGUGUUUUAUAUGAGAAAAUGUAUGUCUUUCCAUGUAAAACAAUCGUGUUUGUUCCAGAAAAUCCGUUAUUUUCCAAUACACGAGUUGUAAGCCGUUGUUGGUAAUAUUGUUGGAUAUAGUGUCUAAGUCCAUAACUAUAUUUGGUAUAUACUUGACCCGACCCAGCAUGGUCCAUUUGGGUUGCACUUCACCCGAACACUUUAUGGAUAAUAUUUGAGAAUAGUACAAGUUAUGAUUUAUUAAUAUAUUAUAAGUUCUAAUAUAUUAAUAUACGAUCAUAUUAUUUAAUUAGUAGUGAUCUAUAAUUAAUCUAGGAUUAAUUUAGUGAUCAAAGAUAUUACUAAUUAAAUAUGGGCUUCUAUAUUUAUAUAGUGUGGGCUUAUGCUUAUUUGGAAUGGGCUAGGCUUGGAUGGAGAAGUCCAUGGAUACUCCAUGGAGCUUUAACCCAUGGAUCUCAUGGAAAUGAAGAGACAUGGGUAUUAGGGUUUACAUGGAUGUAACCCUAAUCCACCACACUAUAUAAAGGAGGCGUUGGUUCUUGAAAUCACACUAGUUGACACUUGUGGAGUUGAGGGCCGAUUUCAAGAAGUGGUGACUAUUCUCUCAAAGUUCCAAGUUUGUGGUGAUUUGUGACUUUCAUUUGAGGCAUCCACAUUAUUGGUGCUAGGCUCAAGAACUCCAAGCAAUCAACUACAUCUACAAGGUAAGUGUUUCUACUAGCUUUAUUUGAUUCAAGUUCCCCAUGCCAUGCUAGUUAGGAUAUAAGUCUUGGAAAAUUAAUUAUUUGCAUGUAUCUUAGACAAACAUAGAUCCAAGGUUUAUUAGGGUUGCAUGUACACUUAGGAAGUGUUAGAAUGCUCAAAACCCAUCAGUGGUAUCAGAGCCUAGGCUUGUUUGUUUGUUAUUUGUGCUUAAAAGUUGAAGAAAGUCGAAAAUUCUGCUGUCUGACUGAUGGACUCGGCGAGUCCAUGGGGAGGACUCGUCGAGUUCAUGUGUAUCUUCAACCUACUCGGCGAGUAGGUUUAUGCACUCGGCGAGUAGGGUCGACAGAGUGCAGAAUUUCGACUUGAGUUGCUGGAAAUGGAUUAGAAUCAUUACCCUAAAAUGUUUUGGUACUUGAAAACUUAUUUUAGAAGGUGUAAUGUCUUUUCUAACUCAUUUACAACAACUAGUUAUCAAAAUUACAAAGAUUAAAUGUGAUUUUGAUUCUUGAAAGUGUUCAUAUUCAUAUUCUUGUUCUUAUGAUGUUUAGAUGAUCAUAGGAAUUAUUUGUAACCUAUGUGGUAGAUUAAUUCAUGAUCAUAAUGUGUUUUAAUGGAGUCCAUAACUUGUCCUCAAGUUAUGGAAAACCAAAAGUCUCUUGGAUUAAAAACCAUUAAAAGAACACAAGAGUUAGGAAAAAUGAAAAGUCCUCAUUUUAUUACUCUAUUAAACUCAUAAGUUACAAGAAAUGAAAAGUUUUGAAAGUUUACAAAACUUGCCCUCAAGUUUUGGAACAAGUAAAGUUAAGUUAAAACUUUAGUUCCAACCCCUAGAAUUUUAAAAGUUAAAAUUCAACCCUUAUACUUAUAUUAUUAUGAUUUAAUAAUUAUAUAUAUAUGUAUAAGAACAAAGUCGUCUUACCGCUAGUACGCCUCAUUCACGAAGCCGGUCUAUAAGGUGGGUAUAAGGUUGUUGCCUAUAAAAUGGUGACUUAAUGGGUGUCCACUCUCACCCACCGCUUGCUUGAUCGGUGGAGGGUCGUUAGCCGAACGGGUAAGACAAGGACUUAUUAAUUCUCAUUCAAAGUAUGAUGAAUAUUAUAAAGUAACUAAAUGUUUUAUUAAAUUCCCAAUCUUAGUUACUUUAGGAAAAAUGUGAAUAAGGUGCUAUUCCAUGAAAUUACACUUUACACUUUGAUUAAGUCGUUGGUGGAGCGUGUGUGGUUAACCGGCACACUAACUUGGACUUAACAAGGUAGGUAAAGGGUGACUUAGGGUUUAUUAUAGUAUCGAUGGAGCGUGUGUGGUUAACCGGCACAUCGAUUGAGUGAUAAACUUUAAGGGUACCAAGUGAUUUGCAUGGUUACUUCACACCUCGUUUUGUGAUCCUCGGUAUCCCAGUCACAAAACUUGGAGGGCACACUCGAGAUUGAAACAUGCCUUUGAAAAGUUCAUUGAAUCUCAAAGAAUCUAGGAAUUUCUAAGAACCAUUCAAAAACCUAAUACUAAAAUAUUGCGGUUUUCGUGGUGGAAAUUGGUGAAUCGUCAUUCACCUACCUUUCAAAUAUGAUAUAGCUUAGAUUACGGCAUACCUCUUCUAAGUUAUAUUAUAUUGUGAUUGGAUCCUAGCCUUAAUAUUACAUUUGGGUGUUUUAUUAAGGACUCUCUUAUAUCUAAACUAAUCUUGUCCUCUUUCCUUCAGAUGUCUUUCAACAAUGCUUCUGGCUCUAAUCCUAAUGGCUCCUUUACCCUUAUGAACUUGUGUGGGAAAGUCACCUUUGAUGGAUCCAACUUCAAUGAGUGGAUCAGAAACAUCAGGAUGAUUACCCGCUACGAGGACAAAGAAUAUGUCCUUGACAAGGAGCUUAAGGAGAUUGAUGAGUCCACUGCAACUCCUCAGGAGAUCGCUGAAUUUCGGGCACAUGAAAGGGAUGCUACGAAAGUGGCUUGCAUCAUGAUGGCCACGAUGACAGCGGAACUCCAAAAGUCUUAUGAGGAUUUCUACCCUUAUGACAUGCACCAAGAUUUGAUGGAAAGAUACCAUCAAAGUGCAAGACAAGAGAGGUAUGAAAUCAUCUGCUCCAUGAUAACAACCAUGAUGAAGGACGGGGAAUCCGUCACGAGCCACAUGCAGAAAAUGCAAAGGUAUGUGGAUCGUUUGCUGAAGCUUAAUGUGAACUUCCCGGAGGAUCUUGCAAUAGAUAUUAUUUUGCAUUCCUUACCAUCGUGCUAUGAUCAAUUCCGCAUGACAUAUCACAUGAACAAGGAAGAAGUCACCCUCAGCAAACUUCAGGGACUUCUCAAGACCGCAGAAACAGGUCUUAAGGGGAAGUCGGUUGCUAUCACUCCUACUCAAAACUCUACUCCGGUUUUGGCAAUCGGGAAAAGUCGAGGGAGGAAGAGAAAGAGCUCUUCUAAGGGUACCAAGGCUCGGACCCUUGAUGGCUCUUCUUCAAGUGGAACCAAGAAAGGUUUCGUUACUCCUUCUUCUGACCCAAAAGAGGCUGAAUGCUUCUAUUGCCAUGAAAAAGCUCAUUGGAAGCGGAACUGCCCAAAAUACCAGCAAGAUGUGAAGGAUGGGAAAGUUAAACCCAACCAUGCAGGUAUUUACACUAUCAUUUCUAAUAACUCACCCCAUUCUAAUUCUUGGGUCCUUGAUACCGGGUGUGGUAUUCACAUUUGUUGUGACUUGCAGGGACUAAGAAGAAGUGAGGAUGUGGAGCAAGGAAGGAUAAACUUGAUCAUGGGGAAUAGGAAAGCUAUACCUGUUACCAAGAUUGGAGUUUAUACUUUAUCGCUAAGUAGUGGGUUUAGUUUAGAUUUGAAUAAGUGUUGUUAUUCGCCAGGAAUGGCAAGAAAUAUUAUUUCCUUUCAUGCUUUGUACAAACAAGGGUUUACCUUUUCAUUUAAUAAUGAAGUUGGUUCUAUAGAUGUUUUCUAUAAUAAUGUCUUUUAUUUUAAAGCAUUACCUUGUGAUGGUGUGUAUGAAGCUGUAUCUGUUGUAGAUAACUUGGGAAAUAAUGUUUUGUGUAUUGAUUCUACUAAUAAUAACUUGGAUAAAGCAUCUUUAUGGCAUUGUCGUCUUGGACAUAUAAGCAAGAAACGCAUAGGCCAACUCCAAAAGGAUGGAGUCUUGGAGUCGUUUGACCUAAAGUCAGAUGAUAGUUGCGAAUCAUGCUUACUUGGAAAAAUGACAAAGUCACCCUUCACAGGUUCGUGUGAGAGGGGUGAAGGUUUGUUGGACCUUAUACACACGGAUGUGUGUGGACCAUUCAAACAUGCCACAAGGGAUGCUAAUCGUUAUUAUUUGACUUUUACUGAUGAUUAUAGUAGAUAUGGAUAUGUCUACUUGAUCAAGCAUAAGUCAGAGACUUUCGAGAGGUUUAAGGAAUUUAAACAGGAAGUCGAGAAUCAAUUGGGCAGGAACAUUAAGAUGCUUCGAUCCGAUCGUGGUGGUGAGUAUCUUAGUUCAGAGUUCCUCGACUAUCUAAGGGAAUGUGGGAUAGUCUCACAAUUGACACCUCCCAGGACACCACAGUUGAAUGGUGUGGCUGAGAGGCGUAAUCGAACCUUGUUAGAUAUGGUUCGUUCCAUGAUGAGUCGAGCUACGCUACCAAUCUCAUUCUGGGGGUAUGCCUUAGAGACUGCCGCCCAUAUUCUUAAUCUAGUCCCUACAAAGAAAGUUGCCAAAACUCCUCACGAGAUGUGGACUGGUAAAGUACCUAAACUAGACCACAUCAAGAUUUGGGGUUGCGAGGCUUUCGUGAGACGCGAGACUCAUGAUAAGCUCGAACCUCGAAGCGAGAGGUGUAUUUUCAUCGGUUACCCACAGCGAUCCUUUGGUUACCUCUUCUACAGACCUAGUGACAAUGUGGUCUUUGUAGCAAGAAGAGGAGUCUUUCGAGAAAGAGAGUUUAUAAGCCAAGGAGACAGUGGGAGGCAAAUUGAUCUUGAAGAAAUUCAAGAAUCAAGCGGUGAAGGAACUUCAAACUCUAGCCCUCAACUUGAGGAGGAAACUCCUGUUGAGCCAAUUGACAAAUCUGUACCUCUGAGACGUUCCACGAGAGUUAGGAGUGCACCUGAGCAUUACUAUGGAUUCCAUAUUACUGCAGAAGGUGAGACACUUAUUAGUGAUGAGACACUAGUAAGUCAAGAUGACCCUAACAGCUACGAGGAAGCCAUGGCAGGCCCCGAGUCUGCUAAAUGGAAAGAGGCUAUGGAUAGCGAGAUACAAUCCAUGUAUGACAAUCAAGUUUGGAACUUGGUUGAAAAUGUACCAGGUCGUAAGACAGUAGGGUGCAAAUGGGUCUUCAAGAAGAAGACCGACAUGGAUGGUAAAGUACACACUUAUAAGGCUAGACUGGUUGCAAAGGGCUUCUCUCAAAUUCCUGGAGUGGAUUAUGAUGAGACCUUUUCUCCGGUAGCCAAGAUUAAGUCUAUUCGGGUUCUGUUAGCCAUAGCUGCAUUUCAUGACUAUGAAAUAUGGCAGAUGGAUGUCAAAACCGCUUUCCUUAAUGGAAAGUUGGCUGAAGAUGUUUACAUGAGUCAGCCAGAGGGUUUUGUCAGCAACGAGUACCCUAAUAGAGUGUGUAAGCUUGAGAAAUCCAUUUAUGGAUUGAAGCAAGCACCUCGCAGAUGGAAUCUUUGCUUUGAUGAAAAGGUCAAGGAAUUUGGCUUUUCUAGGAGUGAAGAUGAAUCUUGUGUGUAUGUCAAGGCUAGUGGGAGUAUAGUUAGCUUUUUGGUAUUGUAUGUGGAUGACAUACUACUCAUAGGAAACGACAUUCCAACCCUGCAGGAAGUAAAGUCCUGGCUUGGGAAGUGUUUCGCUAUGAAGGACCUUGGUGAAGCUGCCUAUAUUCUAGGGAUAAGAAUCUUGAGAGAUCGGAGUAAAAGACUAAUUGGACUUAGUCAGAGUACCUACUUGGAUAAGGUGCUGAAGAGAUUCAGCAUGCAGGAUUCCAAGAAAGGAGAGUUACCCAUCCAGAGUAACACCAGAUUGAGUAAGACACAAAGCCCUAGCACUGAGGCUGAGAUAGCAGAAAUGAGUCGAACACCUUAUGCUUCGGCUGUAGGAUCGAUCAUGUAUGCUAUGACGUGUACUCGACCCGAUGUAGCUUUUGCCUUGAGCAUGGUUAGCAGGUAUCAGGCGAACCCUGGCAAGGCACACUGGACUGCGGUAAAGAAUAUCCUCAAGUACCUACGGAGGACUAAGGACUGGGUCCUUACCCUCGGUGGGAGUGAUGACUUGAGAGUUGUAGGGUAUAGUGAUGCUAGCUUCCAGACUGAUAGGGAUAAUUUCCGCUCUCAGUCGGGCUGGGUCUUUACCCUAAACGGAGGAGCAAUUUCUUGGAAGAGUUCCAAGCAAGAGACAGUGGCAGAUUCUACUUGUGAAUCAGAGUAUAUUGCAGCUAGCGAGGCAGCAAAGGAGGCGAUAUGGCUGAAGAACUUCAUUGGAGACCUUGGAGUUGUACCAGCUAUUAAAGAGCCAAUGGAAAUUUUCUGUGAUAGUGAAAGUGCUGUUGCCUUAGCCAAGGAACCAAGGGAUCAUGGGAGAUCCAGACACAUCGACAGAAAAUACCAUUUCAUUAGACAUCGGAUCGAAGAAGGACUCCUCGUGGCAAAGAGGGUAUCAUCGGAUGAGAACCCAGCAGAUCCCCUCACGAAGGGACUGAGUAGGGUUAAGCAUCUCCAGCAUGCUCGGAGCAUAGGGCUGAAGGAUGAUAUAAGUUUUAGUAGUUAGAUAACCCAGAAAUUUGUAAAGUGUAAUUGACAUUUGAUGAUGAAUAAAAGGUGUUUUAUUUAUGAGUAAAGUGUUGCUAUCUCUUGUCGAUCGUUUACUAUAUUUCUUUUGCAUGUUUUGACUUCCAGAAUAAUUUUGUUUGGUAUAACAUAUUAUUCAAACCUCCACAGUCGGUCAUAUGUCGGAAGUAGGUAUGAAUCAAGACUGUCAUGAUGGGUUGCAGAGGUCUAAGGUGUUGGACAAGGCUACAACAAUCAUGAGUGCUCAUAAGUUCUGAGCAUUGGACUCAACCCACGCUCACUGGAAUCACUUCAUGGAAUUUUAUCUCGAGUGAUCGUGAGACGGUAAUAUCAUAUAAGUCUUCAAACCUAGAGAUAUGAUUUGUUACUUACGAGUUGGUUAUGCAUUGAUUGUACGAAAACGCAUUGGUAACUCGAUGUUAUAAAACGUGCUUUUGUGUGUAAUUCAAUGAGUGGUAGAACAAACAUAUGAGUCGAAGUUUAUCUGUUCCUUCUUGGAUUAGAAGCUGAUAUCUGGGCCCCUCGAUGAUUUUGUUUUGACCUAUGUACCGGGCCCGGUCAGAACUAAAUUGAUGUGUUCAGUUGAGUUCUAUGUCAAACAAAUCGGAAAUCGGGAAACAAAUGCUGGACAAUAAGUAAGACAAUGUUCCAUGUAUUUGUCCGGCUGAUAUCUAGAACAGAGGAUUAUAUGAUCACUUAUCUAAAUGGCGCGUUCUAGUUCAACAGAGUUUAAAGAGCUACGAGUGCUGAUCGGUUCCUGAAGUUAUACUUGCAAAUAUAGUUACUAGACUUAUCCAAGUGGGAGACUGUUGGAUAUAGUGUCUAAGCCCAUAACUAUAUUUGGUAUGUACUUGACCCGACCCGGCAUGGUCCAUUUGGGUUGCACUUCACCCGAACAAUUUAUGGAUAAUAUUUGAGAAUAGUACAAGUUAUGAUUUAUUAAUAUAUUAUAAGUUCUAAUAUAUUAAUAUAAGAUCAUAUUAUUUAAUUAGUAGUGAUCUAUAAUUAAUCUAGGAUUAAUUUAGUGAUCAAAGAUAUUACUAAUUAAAUAUGGGCUUCUAUAUUUAUAUAGUGUGGGCUUAUGCUUAUUUGGAAUGGGCUAGGCUUGGAUGGAGAAGUCCAUGGAUACUCCAUGGAGCUUUAACCCAUGGAUCUCAUGGAAAUGAAGAGACAUGGGUAUUAGGGUUUACAUGGAUGUAACCCUAAUCCACCACACUAUAUAAAGGAGGCGUUGGUUCUUGAAAUCACACUAGUUGACACUUGUGGAGUUGAGGGCCGAUUUCAAGAAGUGGUGACUAUUCUCUCAAAGUUCCAAGUUUGUGGUGAUUUUUGACUUUCAUUUGAGGCAUCCACAUUAUUGGUGCUAGGCUCAAGAACUCCAAGCAAUCAACUACAUCUACAAGGUAAGUGUUUCUACUAGCUUUAUUUGAUUCAAGUUCCCCAUGACAUGCUAGUUAGGAUAUAAAUCUUGGAAAAUUAAUUAUUUGCAUGUAUCUUAGACAAACAUAGAUCCAAGGUUUAUUAGGGUUGCAUGUACACUUAGGAAGUGUUAGAAUGCUCAAAACCCAUCAAAUAUAACAUCCCGAUUCCCAAGUAUCGGUUUAAAUAAAAGCUAUUUGGUUUUGAGACCUACUCGACGAGUUUGUUGCCCUACUCAUCGAGUAGCAGCGAGGUGGGAUCGUGUAUUUAGUGGCCUACUCGCCGAGUCCAGAAAGGGAAUCGAAGAGUAGGAGCUAGCAGAUGAAACCCUAAAUCCCGGGGUUUUGCACCCUAUUUAAAGAGGUAUAAGCCCCCUUUAGCCUCUUUGCAGUCCAUUGAGAAACCCUAAUUCGUGUGGCGUUCAUUCUUAUGUGUCUUGAGCUUUAGAGAGGAGUUUUUGGGAAGGAAGAGCUUGGAGGACAAGAGAUUAUGAGCGAAGAAGGGCUUUUAUGGCAUAUUUGAGAUGAUAAUGUGGAGUAUGAGCUAGAUCUGAAGUUGUAACUUCGGAUCUGGACCUUUCUUGGGUUAUAGAGUUAGAAAGUUAUGAAUAGGACAUAUAUGAAGCCUUCCUUGAGUAUGAAACCCGAUUAUAGGCUUGGAUUUGUCAUUUAGAGCCUUUGUAGCCAUGCAUGCACGUAAAGUUUGCAACUUUACGUGAAAUGCAUGCCUUAGAAGCUUGGAUCUGUAAUUUGGAGCCACUGCAUGGCUUAAAAAGAGUCUGUAUGGCUUAUGAACAGAAGGAGCUCGGAGAGUUGCAAGUUCGACUUGGCGAGUCAUAUGAAGAUAGACCUGGACUCGACGAGUCGGAUAAACAACUCGGCGAGUCCGAUUAAGAUUGCCAAGGAACUCGACGAGCGGUAUAAACCAAUCAGCGAGUCGGAUGAGUUUUCCCCAAUUUAGGUAUAUGUGCGUAACUGUCGAGUUGCAAGAAGGAAACUCGACGAGUGGCCUUAGAGAUCAAUCGUAAACCAAAGGAACUCGUCGAGUAACUCCGUGACUCGGUGAGUGGGCAAGUACUUCAAGGAACUCGAUGAGUAGUCGAGGGUACUCGGCGAGUUAGGGUCAACAUGGACUGUUGACCUUGACUGAUGACCUUGAUUUUGACCAGGGUUUGAUUAGUGGCAUUUGGGAUACCUUGAAAGGUUGGGAACUUAUGGGUAUAAUUAUAUUAUGGUAAUAGGUUGUGGAGCUUUGUCAGUUAUCCGAGAGUUGGAGUUCAUCUACCGAGUCGACAUCUGCAAGGUGAGUUAUCCUCACUAUAUCAAUAGUGUCUAAGGCACCAAGGCCGGCCCUUUAGUUUUUAUUGUUAUGGUAUGCUACCUAUGGUUAUCAUUUGUUAUAUUAGAAUCAGGAUAGACAAUAUGUUAGGCUCUUUUGAUCUGUAGGGAUUGGUACGAUAGUAACCUGCUAGGUCGAUGUUGUAGUUAUGAGAGAUUGCUAUGAUUGAUGAUCAGUGAGAUAGAUAUGUUUGUGUUUAUAUAUGCCAGUACAUGCUAGUUAUGCGCACAGGUUAUUUGCUUAUUGAUUGGGUUGAGGUGGUCCUGCUUUGUGCUGAAGGCCAACACACCCUAUGAGCGGUCUGGGGAGACUGUAGGCCCACGUGGCGGUCCAGUUAUGCCGAAGGCUCAGGACAGAUUCAGUUAGACUGUAGGCCCUACAGGGCGGUCCAGUCAAGCUGAUGGCCUAGUAUGCAUGUUGUUGAUUGUUUGUUAUUGAUAUGGUAUUAUCGGUGUGGUGUUGGUAUUUUGGGGGUAGCUCAUUAAGCCCUUGGGCUUACAGUUUCAGUUUAUUGUUUUAGGUACUUCAGGAGAUCAUGGCAAGGCGAAGGCAUGACCGUACCGCUCCUCAUCCUUUUGAUCUAGUUAUUGGGACACUCUGAUGAAUAAUGAUUUGAAAACAUUUUAUAAACAAAUACUAUUUGGUUUUAUCUAUGAUUGAAAAAGUUUAAAUUUGGCGUAAAAUUUUUGGAUGUUACAAGUUUGUAUCAGAGCCUUGGUUUGACUGAAUUGGAGGAACACUCGUGUGAAUCCAGUCUUAAAUCAAGGGAAUUUUCGAAAUAAUUACUAAAAUUGUUUUCAUAAUAAGGAUGGAGGAUGCAGAGGGUACGAUCAGCCGGAGCCUGUAUGUAAACCCCAAAAUACCAUACAGUUAUUUGAUAUUAUGAUAUGAUAGAACAGCAUGCUAUUGCUAGGCUAGGAGUCUUCACGAAUCACAUGAUAAGAUUUUCCUGAUUAUAUGGUGCCUGCUAGCCUAGGGUUUCUUGUAUAUGGAAUUGACAUCAUAACUGUAGAUGUUUAGUGUAUGCAUCACGGCUGUGUAUAAUCAAGAUCUUAUAGCCUGAGAAUGUCUGAUUCGACCUUAGUGUAGGAUUAGAUAUUCGAAAGUCUAUUGGGUCCAACGUUAUGUGUGGCAAGCAUACACUAGUUCUGCAGGGUUGGUGAAAGUUUCAUGGAUGUGUGAGUUAUGAGAAGCUGCGAGACCAGUUGCGAGAUAGUCGAUAUUCCCCAGGGGUGAGGGUUGAGCGCAUAUUAUGUUGAUGAUAUUGUUAUGGCGUUGUGAUGAUACUUGAGAAAAAUAUGGGUAGGUAUGGAAGGUAGUAUGGGCCCAUACUACUGAAAGCACAGGACCCAUAUGCGUAGCAAGGAAGUCACAACCCCUAGGGUUGUGGGAAUUGGUCUCCUGAUAUUAUGUCAUUUAUCUGACGUCUUGGUUAUAUUUUUCAGUAUGGUGGUGACGAGACGUUUUGCUACUGGAUCCGGUUCAGGGUUAGGAUCGGGAUUAGGAUCGGGAGACGGAGGGUCGGAGGUGCCGGUAGCACCUGAGCCUAUGGUACAGAUAGGGACAGAGGAGUUGGAUGCCAGGAUCCAGGAGAUUCUGCACGAUGAGAUUGCUGCGGCGUUCUAAGCGCAGCUGGCAGAGAUGUUUGGGUCGAUUAAGACCGUAAUUGUUGAGUACUUUGAUGAGUGAUAUACAGCUUUAGCAGAGAUAGUUGCCGCUGCAGCCACAUCGGUUGUAACCGCGGCAGGGGUUGGAGGAGGAGCCGUUAGGGUUUUCCGAUAUCGGGACUUCGAUAACACGAAGCCCCGGACAUUUGAUGGUACGCAGGAUGCGAUCAGGGCUAUGAGGUAGUUAUCUGACGUGGAGGGUUGUUUCUUCACAUGUUCAUGUUCAGCUGACCAGAAGGUCAGGUGUGCCAUGAACAUGCUGAGGCUUGGGGAAAAGGACUGGUGGGGAUUGACGAUGUAACACUCUAAAAAUUCAAGCCAAUUUAAACUUUUCAAAAACAACCCAAUUUCAUUAAGUUAUUACAAAAAGGUUUUCAAUACAUUUAUUAUCAGAGUAUCCCCAGAACCAUAUCAUAAAACAAGAACAUGAGGAGCGGUACAAUCACGCCUUCGCCUUUCCACAGUCUCCCGAAGUACCUGAAAACAUUAAACCACAACUGUAAACCCGAAAGCUUAGUGAGAUACCCCAAAAUACCAACCACAUAUACCAUACAUAUAAUAUAUCAUAACAAAACAGAACAGCCAUGCACUUCGGAUCUACUGUGUGAUUGGUUCGCUGCACUAGGCCUUCAGUCCACCUGGUCCACCCUCCGAGUCUAGCCAUAUACAUCGACUCUACAAUGUGAUUUGUCCGCCCGCACCGGGCCUUCAAUCCACUUGGUCCACUCUUUGAGUCUACAGUAUGACUGGUCCGCCCGCACCGGGCCUUCAGUCGGCCUGUUCCACUCUCCGAGCCUCGGCACGUCUAGUCCGCCCUCAUGGGGUCUACAGCCUAUCCGGACCGCUCGUUGGGCCUUCGGAAUAUCCGGUCCACCCUCGGUAUGUUGGCCUACAACACACAGCAGGACCCGCCUCAACCCAACCCCAGUCAACCAACCAUGUGCACAUAAACAUAUAACCAUAUAACAAUUAAUCAUCAAUCAACCGAUCUAGCAGAUCACAUACAUAGCAUACUCUAAACAGGAUACCGACCUAACCGGUCACUAAUAUAGCAUCAUCCUAUGUACCAAGAUACCGACCUUAACUAGGUGUCUAACAUAUACCAUCCUAACUACCAGGAUGCAAACAUAGCAAAGCAAUAACAUAACAACAAUACCCGGAUUACAAUCCGAUAAAGGGCCGGCCUUGGUGCCUUAGACCCUGUCGAUAUAGUGAGGAUAACUCACUUGGAAACUACUGACUGAAAAGAUAAGCUCACGCUGCUCCAACCUCCGACACGAACUCCACCACUGAUCAAUACCAAAUGACUGAACUCAAUAAAUACCAAUAAUUACCAAAAUACCCUUGGAAGUCAACUGGUCAACUCUUGGUCAAAGUCAAAGUCAACCUUCCUGACUGACUCUACUCGCCGAGUAAGCCCGCUGACUCGUCGAGUCCCUAUGCUCUGAAAACUCCCAUAUCGCGACCCAACUCGCCGAGUCGCCCCAAGACUCGCCGAGUCCCACGAACUCUGAGUCACUUCCUACUCAACUCAUCGAGUCGUCCCUCGACUCACCGAUUCAUAGCUCAACCAAAAAGGUUAGGACUUGGCGACUAGACUCGCCGAGUCCAAGGCAAUCUUCAACAGAUUCGUCGAGUUAUUCUUCCAACUCGCCGAGUUCCUGCCUUUCUUCAUCCAGCUCGUCGAGUACAUCCAUGUGACUCGCCGAGUACCUCUAGUUCUUAAUCCAUGCAGUGGCUUUCUAAGCCAUGCAGUGACUCCAAUCCAUAGAUCCAACCUCCUACAACCUUCCCCACACGUAAAGGUGCAAACUUUACGUGAAACCAUGGGGAAAUAAGCCCAAAAUACUCUAGGGCUAAGGAUUAAGGCAAAGGGACUUCACCAACCACUCUAGGACAGCACCUUUACAAAAAAUAGGAUCAUUACAAGAUUGGAUUUGAGGUUUCAACUUCAGAUCUAGCUUCUAAACUCGAAAUUGAUUCCACUCAAGCCAUAAUCCCCAAAAUAGCAACCAAGAACGAAUCUAGAAGAAGGAAACUCAAGGUAACAGAUUGUUACCUCAGAAAUGAUCCAAAGGAGGAGUAGAUCCCUGAUCUACAAUGAUAUCCAGAUGCUAGCCUCUUGAUCUUCAACCUUCUUUUUCUCAAUUUCUCUUCCCAAGCUCUAAUUCUUCAUCAAUGGAGGUUAUACACGAUUUUAGGGUUUUCUAGGUAUUGGAAGGUAACAAAGAGGCUAAGGGUGGGUUAUAAUGUCCUUUAUAUAGGGCACAAUCCCGAAAAUUAGGGUUCUCUCCACCUAGCACCAACUCGCCGAGUCACUCCUCCGACUCGCCGAGUUGGUCACUUAACACAUGACCAGAUUCGCGACCCGACUCGCUGAGUCUAACCAUUGACUCGUUGAGUCGGUCUUCCAUAUUUACACUAAGCACCCUGAACUUUGCUCUUCUGAACUCGAGGUGUUACAGACGACAGGGUCGUACACUGAUCAUUAGCGAGCUGUUGUUACUUGGGAGCAGUUCCGGAUAUGUUCCGCACACGCUACGUUCCAUGCGUUGAGCAGGAGCGACUUGCUCAGGAGUUUUUGACAUUGAGGCAGGAUGGGGAGUCAGUGAUGGAAAUCACUCAUAUGUUCACGUAGAAGGCUAUGUUUUGCCCGAAGUUUGCUUCAGAGCAGUCUCAGAUGACUCAUUAUAUGAGUAUGCUCAAGAUGGAUAUUCGACAGUUUGUUGCUACGCAAUGUUGUGAGACGCUUCUGGAUCUUUAGGAAGCCACGAGGUGGCGUGAGUUAGAGAUAGAGUUGCAGUUGAGGGAGCAGCGUCAGGUUCCGGCACAGUCUCAACCGGCACCUAAGCAGUCCAAGACCUUUGAUACUCAGACCGGGGGUCAAUAGAGCCGUACUUGUGGAAAGUGUGGCAGGGGUCAUUUUGGGGUUUGUUGUGCAGGAGGUGGUUGCCACAAAUGUCGCAAGGAGGGGCACUAUGCCAGGGACUAUCGCCAGUCCGCCCCUCCAGCAGAUAUGAGGAUUUGUUACCACUGUCAUCAGGUUGGUCACGUGAAGACCAACUCUUCAUAGCUCGCCGUCAAGCCGGCACAGGGAUCCACAUCGGCUACUUUGAGGAUUGGGGAUGGGAGGCCAGUCAAGGUGGAGCCUCCGAAGGCUCAGGGGCGCGCCUUCCAACUUACGGCCGAGGAGGCCAAGGCAGCACCGAAUGUGGUUGCUAGUAUGUUUCUAUUUUCCAUCUAGGUUAUUAUAUUUGUGGUAUGUUUAUCAGUUGAACCUACGGUUAGGUACGUUUCUAGUAAACUCUUUUCCUGCUUUGGUUCUUUUUGACUCGGGGGCGAGUCGGUCGUUUGUAUCUCAGGCUUUCAGUAGAGAAUUUAGGGUGUCGGUAGAUGAGCUUGAGUGUCCGUUGCCAGUUUCGAUCGCCAACAAACACGGGGUUUCUGCUUCUUCGGUCUACCGGGGAUGUGAGUUGGAGAUUUUCAGGGUAUCCUUCCCGAUAGAUUUGAUUCCUAUCCCCAUGGGGGAAGUAUGUGUGAUCGUAGGGAUGGAUUGGCUCAGUCGGUUUGGCAUUAUGAUCAACUGUGAGGGACAGCGAGUGGUAAUUCGAACCCCAAGUGGGGGAGAAUUGGUGGUGUAUGGUGAGGGCACUAGAGUGGGAGCAGGGUUUUGUUCAGCCGCCAGGGCUCGACAGUUUAUUCAGCACAGGUGUGCCGGCUAUUUAGCGUAUGUGAUGGAUACGCAGAUUGGAGAUCAUGCUUCAGUUUUAGAGGUUCUAGUGGUUAGAGAAUUUCCUGAUGUGUUUCCAGAGGAGUUACCUGGAGUGCGUCUAGAGAGGCAGGUAAAGUUCAGGAUUGAUCUAGUGUCGGGUGUGGCCCNUUCCAGAGAGGCAGGUAAAGUUCAGGAUUGAUCUAGUGUCGGGUGUGGCCCCUAUCGCUAAGGCGUCGUACCCUCUGGCAUCGCCAGAGAUGCAGGAGUUGGCAUCUCAGUUACAUGAGCUGUUGGGUAAGCAUUUCAUUCGCCUGAGUAGUUCUCCUUGGGGAGCACCAAUCCUCUUCGUCUGGAAGAAUGAAGGUUCGCACAGGAUGUGCAUUGACUAUAGGGAGUUGAACAAGUUAACGGUGAAGAACCGUUAUCCACUUCCGAGGAUAUAUGGUCUUUUUGAUCAGUUGCAGGGUGCAUCUUGGUUCUGCAAGAUCGAUUUGAGAUCCGGAUAUCACCAGGUCAGGGUGAGGGAGGAAGACAUGGAGAAGACCGCAUUUCGGACUCGUUAUGGUCAUUACGAGUUCGUGGUGAUACCGUUUGGGCUCUCCAACGCACCGACAGUGUUCAUAGAUUUGAUGAACUGAGUCUGCAGAUCGAUGCUCGAUCGCUCGGUCAUUGUGUUCAUAGAUGAUAUCGUGGUAUAUUCCAAGACUUGAGAGCAGCACGAUGAGCACCUCAGGGAGCUGCUGGAGGUUCUGUGGCGAGAACGGCUGUAUGCCAAGUUCUCGAAGUGUGAGUUUUGGUUACGAGAGGUCCAGUUCCUCGGGCAUCUCGUUAACCAGGAAGGGAUUUUGGUCGACCCAGCCAAAGUAGAUGUGUUUAUGCAGUGGGAGAUUCCGAAAUCUCCCUCAUACAUCAGGGGUUUCUUGGGAUUAGCAGGGUACUGUCGGAGAUUCAUUCGAGAUUUCUCCAAGAUUGCAGUACCCCUCACUAGUCUAACGAGGAAGGGAGUGGAUUUUUGGUGGGGCCCAGAGCAGCAGAGGGCGUUUGAGACCCUCCGAUAGAGUUUAUGCAAGGCGCUAGUAUUGACACUCCCCGAGGGAGUCGAGGAUUUUGUAGUAUUUUGUGAUGCAUCCAUCACAGGUUUGGGGGCAGUCCUCAUGCAGAGGGGACGAGUGAUAGCCUAUGCAUCGCGGCAGCUAAAGCCGCAUGAGACGAGAUACCCUACGCACAAUCUUGAGUUGGGAGUGAUGGUAUUCGCUCUCAAGAUUUGGAGGCAUUAUCUGUACGGGGUCCGAUGUACUAUAUACACGGAUCACAAGAGUUUGAGGCACAUUAUGGAUCAACCGAACCUAAACAUGAGGCAGCGCAUGUGGCUGGAUGCUGUUAAGGACUACGAUUGGGAGAUCCUUUUCCAUCCUGGUAAAGCGAAUGUGGUUGCGGAUGCUUUGAGGCGCAAGUCAGCUGGGUCUUCUACCCCGACGAGGUGUAUGAGGAUAGCGGUGGAUUCCCCGCUUGUGAGCUUGAUUAGGGAUGCUCAGGUUGAGGGAAUGAGACCAGAGAGCUAGAAGUUGGAGAGGAUUAAGGGCGAGAGCGCCCGGUUUGUUCAGGAUAGUUACGGGUUAUUAACCCGACACGGUCGGGGUUAGGUUCCGAUGAACGGAGGGGUCCGACAGACAGUGAUGGAGGCGGUUCAUAAGUCUCACUUUUCUAUACACCCGGGGGCCACCAAGAUGUACCGCGAUCUGAGUUUGAGUUACUGGUGGCCCGGUAUGAAGGGAGAAAUCGCUUGGUUUGUCGAGAGGUCCCUGACUUGUAGGAUGGUCAUGGCCGAGCAUCAGAGGCCACAUGGUAAGUUGCAGCCUCUGGAGAUUCCCAUGUGGAAAUGGGAGCAGAUCAUGAUGGACUUCAUUACGAAGUUGCCAAGAACGGCGAAGGGGUUUGAUGCCAUAUUGGUCAUCGUGGAUCGGUUGACCAAGAGUGCCCAUUUCUUGGCUAUACGGGAGAGUUCGUCGAUUGAGAAAUUGGCUGACAUGUACGUCAGUGAGAUUGUCUCUCGCCAUGGAUUUCUGGUCUCCAUUGUUUCUGAUUGGGAUGUCAGGUUUACUUCCCGUUUUUGGCAGAAGUUCCAUGAGGAACUGGGUAUGUGGUUGUACUUUAGUACAAUGUUACAACCGUAGACCGAUGGACAGAUUGAGCGAAGCAUUCAGACCCUCGAAGAUAUGUUGAGGGCGUGCGUCAUUGAUUUCGGAGGGAGUUGGGAUUCCCACCUGCCGCUUGCAGAGUUUGCCUACAACAACAGCUAUCAUUCCAGUAUUGGCGCCCCGCCUUUUGAGUUGUUGUAUGGUAGAAGAUGUAGAACCCUAGUUUGUUGGGGUGAGAUUGGACACAGAGUGAUGGGUCAGAUAGAGGUAGUCUUGCAGACUACCGAAAAGAUCCAGCAGAUCAGACAACGGCUGCAGACUGCGGCAAAAGAGUUACGCUGAUAGACGCCGAUCAGAUUUGGAGUUUCAGGUUGGUGAUAUGGUACUUCUGAAGGUCUCACCCUAGAAGGGCGUGAUCCGUUUCAGGAAGAGGGGAAAAUUGGGUCCCCGUUAUAUUGGGCCAUUCAGGAUUAUUUCCAGGGUUGGUAAGGUGACUUAUAGGCUAGAGCUACCGGAGGAGCUCAGCCGAAUUCACAGCACGUUCCAUGUUUCUCAAUUGCGAAAGUGCGUUAUGGACCAAGAGGCGAUAGUAUUACUGGAUGGUAUUUAGGUUGAUGAGUGCCUGAAUUACGUGGAGAGUCAUGUGGCCAUCUUGGAGAGGAAGAAGAAAAUUUUACGGAACAAAGAAAUACCUUUGGUGAAGGUGUAGUGGGAACAUCGGAGGGGAUCCGAGUGGACAUGGGAGCCGGAGGCGGAGAUGCACAAGCAUUACCCGACAUUGUUUGCUCCAGCAAACUUCGAUGGCGAAGUCUAGUUCAAGUGGGGGAGAAUUGUAACAUCAUGAUUCCCAAGUAUGGGUUUAAAUAAAAGCUAUUUGGUUUUGAGACCUACUUGACGAGUUUGUUGCAUUCUCGUCGAGUAGUAACGAGGUAGGAUCGUGUAUUUAGUGGCCUACUCGCCGAGUCCAUAAAGGGACUCGACAAGUAGGAGCUGGUAGAUGAAACCCUAAAUAUCAGGGUUUUGCACCCUAUUUAAAGAGGCAUAAGCCCCCUUUAGCCUCUUUGUAGUUCAUUGAGAAACCUUAAUUCGUGUGGUGUUCAUCCUUGUGUGUCUUGAGCUUUAGAGAGGAGUUUUUGGGAAGGAAGAGCUUGGAGGACAAGAGAUUAAAAGCAAGGAAGAUGUGGGAAUCAGAAAUCUACCUCAGUUGGCAUCAUUUGAAGGUAUCAAGUCACCACCUUUACUUCAUUUUCCUCCUAGACCUCAUUUGGUUAAGAUUUAGGGCUUUUAUCGCAUAUUUGAGAUAAUAAUGUGGAGUAUGAGCUAGAUCUGAAGUUGUAACUUCGGAUCUGGACCUUUAUUGGGUUCGAGAGUCAGAAAGCUAUGGACUUGGCCAUUUAUGAAACCUUCCUUGAGUAUGAAACCACAUUGUAGGCUUGGAUUUGUCAUUUAGAGCCUUUGUAGCCAUGCAUGCACGUAAAGUUUGCAACUUUACGUGAAAUACAUGCCUUAGAAGCUUGGAUCUGUAAUUUGGAGUCACUGCAUGGCUUAAAAAGAGUUUGUAUGGCUUAUGGAUUGAAGGAGCUCAGCAAGUCGCAAGGUCGACUCGGCGAGUCAUAUGAAGAUAGACCUGGACUCGACAAGUUGGAUGAACAACUCGGCGAGUCCGAUGAAGAUUGCCAACGAACUCGACGAGCGGUAUGAACAAAUCGGCGAGUCGGAUGAGUUUUCCCCGAUUUAGGUAUGCAUGUGUAACCGUCGAGUUGCAAGAAGGAAACCUGACGAGUGGCCUUAGAGUUCAAUCGUAAACCAAAGGAACUCGACGAGUCACUCCGUGACUCGGUGAGUGGGCAAGUACUUCAAGGAACUCGGUGAGUAGCCGAGGGUACUCGGCGAGUUAGGGUCAACAUGGACUGUUGACCUUGAUUGAUGACCUUGAUUUUGACCAGGGUUUGAUUAGUGGCGUUUGGGAUACCCUGAAAGGUUGGGAACUUAUGGUUAUAAUUAUAUUAUGGUAAUAGGUGGUGGAGCUUUGUCAGUGAUCCGAGAGUUGGAGUUCAUCUACGGAGUCGAUAUCUGCAAGGUGAGUUAUCCUCACUAUAUCAAUAGGGUCUAAGGCACCAAGGCCGACCCUUUAGUUGUUAUUGUUAUGGGAUGCUACCUACGGUUAUGAUUUGUUAUAUCAGAAUCAGGAUACACAGUAUGUUAUGCUCUUAUGAUCCGUAGGGAUUGUUAUGAUAGUGACCUGCUAGGUCGAUGCUCUAUUUAUGAUAGAUUGCUAUGAUUGAUGAUCAGUGAGAUAGAUAUGUAUGUGUUUAUAUAUUCCAGUACAUGCUAGUUAUGCACACAAGGUUAUUUGAUUGUUGUUUGGGUUGAGGCAGUCCCGCUUUGUGCUGAAGGCCAGCACACCCUAUGAGCGGUCCGGGGAGACUGUAGGCCCACGUGGCGGUUCAAUUAUGCCGAAGGCUCGGGAUAAAUUCAGUUUGAUUGUAGGCCCUGCAGGGCGGUCCAGUCAGGCCGAUGGCCCAGUAUGCAUGUUAUUGAUUGUCUAUUAUUAAUAUGGUAUUAUCGGUGUGGUGUUGGUAUUUUGGGGGUAGCUCACUAAGCCCUUGGGCUUACAGUUUCAGUUUAUUUUUUUAGGUACUUCAGAAGAUCAUGGCAAGACGAAGGCGUGACCGUACCGCUCCUCAUCCUUUUGAUCUAGUUAUUGGGACACUCUGAUGAAUAAUGAUUUGAAAACCUUUUGUAAAUAAAUACUAUUUGGUUUUAUCUAUGAUUGAAAAAGUUUAUAUUUGGCGUAAAAUUUUUGGAUGUUACACGUAAAAUGAUAGUGUUGGUUUUAGGAAAUCCAAUAUUUUCUAUAAAACGAGUUGUAGUCUUAUAUGUUCCAAGACCGAAAUGCAUAGUUAUUUUGCAUACUUAAAAUACUGUAUGUAGUUUUUAUACGUAUAUAAAAACCAUUUAAGUGUUUGUUUGCCCCAUAAACCAAAAUGUGUUGUUAAUACCCAAUGCGAGUUAUUAUAACCAUGCUAGCGACUAGUUGGCCUAUAACGUCACUCUUCAGGCGUCGGAAUGUUAUGAAAUUUGUCACCCCAGACCUGCCGGUCUAACUACAGCUAAUAGCUAAGGUGUGGAAUUAUCAGUCCCGUAUAGAUCUAUACACAAGUAUCAUGCUCUCCCUACAAGAGAUUUUGGUUACAAUUACAGGACUUUAUGCAACACUUUAAAAUGUACUGUGAAGCCGAAUGUUUCACAAAUUUAUUCAUUAAUCGGUUUACGUCAAAUGAAAUAAAAAGCUCAUUGUUCUUGUAAAUGUAUGUAUCUCCCUUUGAUAGUGUUUAUGCAAUGUGAAAAAUAAUUAUAUUUUUAUAUAAUUAUUUCUUUUUUCCCGAAAGGUUAAAAUAACGUGAGUGUUCCAUAAACUAUAUUUAUUAUAUUUUUAACAAUGUAUGUUCCGUCGAAAUGAUAACCUUUGUGUUUUAACAACUUUUGCAUGUAAAGUUUAUAUGUUUGGUAGUAACAUUGUUCCACGUAAUUAACAUUUUCACUUGAAACGUUUAUAAAAUAUAAGAAAACAUAAGUAACUGUUUGCAUUUUAACACAAUUUUUGUUGUGUUUCAUUUGUAUCCCCCCCCCCCUCCUAAAAUAUAGAAAAAGGUGUGAAAAAUGUGGGAGUAUGAACUCACCUCUAGUGUGAUCACGGUCUGAUAAUGAGGUAAAAAUAGUGAUCUUCGAGUCUAGAAUACGUAAAGGAUGUCGUAUCCUAAUGGUUUUAAACACAUAACAAUGUGUGAAUAUAUGAACUAAUGGUUAAAGUGUUGAAUAAUACUUAGGUUUUAUGAGGAAUUCAUACCUUAAAUUCUUAUAAACUAUCUUGGAAGAAAGGCUCCUGGAGAUAAUUGAUCUUGAGUUGGUAUGGAAAAUGGGUUUGAGUAAAGAGAAAUAUGGGACUGAAAUGUUUACUGGUGAAUGAAUUCAUGUGUGUCUAUAUAUANNNNNNNNNNNNNNNNNNNNNNNNNNNNNNNNNNNNNNNNNNNNNNNNNUAUAUAUAUAUAUAUACAUAUGAAAGAAGGAUAAGAUGAGGUAAAUGAGAAAUGAUAGUGAGUUGAUGUUUACAUUGGUAAGUGCACUUAUCACCUUAGGAAGGCAUUUUAACAAAUCAAGUGGCACCACUUGGCCACCUUUAUGGUGAUUUUGGCCAUGCCAUGACCAAAUCACCAUGAUUUCAGUUUUGGUGUGGUCCCAUGGCUUGAGUUUUCUGCCUUAGUGGUCCAUAGGUUAGUGGUUUCGGCCCUAGUGGUCCAAAGCUUUGUGAUUUCGGUCCACACAUAAGAUCUUUGGUCCCUAGAAAACCGAAAUCCCAAUGUGUUUUGAUUCCAAAAACUGAUAUCACUAUGGUGAGGUGUAGUUCAUGCCUUUUGACUUAUUUCUUUAUCUUGUGUUGACUUGUAUUAACUUAUUUCAACAUGGGUUUUCGACAUACACAUAUAUAUAAAAUUAUAUAAGCAUGGUUUAUAUAUAUAUAUAUAUAUAUAUAUAUAUACACACACACACACACACACACAUAGAGGUGGGUUCAAUUGAGAAAAUAAAAAAGGUUGAGAAUGGGGGAAUCAUUCUCAGCCACUCAUUUAAUCUAAGCAUAAAAAGACACAGUGGCAAACUUGUAAAUAUGAUAUAAUAGCCUUCAAUUACAAAUACGUAAGUGUAGAGAAUUAGAUAACAGUUGAAAUUUAUUCUAAUCGAUCAUUAUCAUCCAAAUUUCUCCUCCAACCUUCAACAAUCAUCCAGAUUUCUUCAAUUAAAUCAUCGAUCAACGUCAUCAUGUGUUAAUCAAUCAUCGAUCUUCGUCUAUAACACGGUUAUCAACACCAUUCAACAGUUGACAACAAAAAUUCGUUUUUUGCUCUUUCAAUCCAACCUUCAAUUCUGCUUGAAUACGAGCAUAUCUUCAACAUCUAUGAUUAAUUAUACUUCCAGCAUCAUUAGAUCAACAAAAAAUUCAAUUUGUAUCAUUCAUUCAACAUCGAUCAUCAAAUAAAACAUCAAAAUUAAGGUUAGAAAAAGAUCAAAUCAUUUUUGGUUUGAAAAUUUUCAUAUAUUUCUCUACCAAUCUACUAUUUUGUAAGAUUUAAAUAGUCAAAGUAUCAUAUUUAUCGCAUUUUUAACAAAGUUAACUUGUAUGCACUCCAACUGUUUGAUGAAAUGCAUAAACUAAAUUACCACGUUAUAUUCAUAUAUGAAUAUGUUUUCUCACCUGAAUCAAUAUGUGAUUAUUAAAACACAAAACAAAUAUGCAAGUCUGUAUGUUAUUCAUAUGUGAAUAACAUAUAAAAAUUAUAUAUAUUUCUGAAAACACCUUGUAAUAUUCAUAUAUGAAUAUACUGUGCAAUACUCACAUAUGAAUAUACUAUGCAAUAUUCACAUAUGAAUAUACCAAGUAUUAUUCAUAAGUGAAUAUACGAUCGAAUAUUCACAAAUGAAUAUACUAUGUAUUAUUCUCAUGUGAUAUACCAUGUAAUACUAUAUAAUAUUCACAUAUGAAAAUAUCAUCUAAUAUUCAUAAGUGAAUAUACCAUCUAACAUUCACAAGUGAAUAUACUAUGUAAUAUUCACAAUUGAAUGCAUCGUCUAAUAUUUAAAUAUGAAUAUACUAUGUUUAGUAUAUGUUAUAUUCAUAUAUGAAUGAUACUUAAAUUGUAAAAAAAUUAAUCAUAGUUUUUAUUCAUAAGUGAAUAACGAAUGUACUGUAGUAAAAACCUGAUUCAUUUUUAUUCACUUAUGAAUAACGAUAGCUGAAAAUAUAAAAAAAAAAAAUUUAUUUUAUCUUCAACCUAUAUAAAUAUGAUGUCUAUUUGUAGAGAAUAAAAAAUCGUUAAUUUUGGUAUAUUUAAAAUCAUUUUUCGAUAAAAAUAGCUUCUUAAAAGUUAAAAAAACGAUGUUUUUGUAUAUAUUAAGGUAAUGAUUAACAUAGUUUAAGUAAAUAUGGUUUGUUGGAAAACACAUGUGCAUUCCUUUCCCAUUUCCGCCGGUACGUUGGAGACUUUUGCGACAAAAAUAAAUGAUUGGCUGAGAAUGAGUCCCCCAUUCUCAACCUUUUUUUCUCAAUUGAACCCUCCUUUAUAUACAUAUAAACAUACCCUCGUGGCUAAUGGUGAUUUAAUGUCACAAGGUUACAAUGUUGUUUUCACUUAUACAUAGCACAUCUUUUGACUUGGUUUGGCUCUAAGUUUGCCAGUUGUCACAUCAUCCCCCCAUUAGAGGGAAUUUCGUCCCGAAAUUAGAGUUUUGAGUGGGAGAUCAAGUAUUGGGGAAAAUAUGUGGGUACUCUUAUUUGAUUUUAUCUUCCUUUUCCCAUGUGUAUUCAUGUCCCCGCUUGGCAUUCCAACGGACCUUCACUAUUGGUAUGCGACUAUGUUUCGUUCACUUAACCUCCAUGUCCAUGAUUUCCACCGGUUCUUCUACGAAGUGUAGACUCUCCUUUACUUUGAUUUCAUCGAGUGGGAUUAUAAGAGUCUCAUCGGACAGACACUUUUUCAGACUAGAGAUGAAGAAGGUAGGGUGUACGUUAUUGAGUUCCUGUGGUAGUCGGAGUUUAUAAGCUACCGGACCAAUCCUUGUAAGGAUCUCAAAUGGUCCAAUGUACCUUGAAUUUAGUUUCCCAUGUUUUCGAAAACACACCAUUUCCUUUCCAUGGUGAGACCUUUAACAGAACAUGGUCGCCAACCUGGAAUUCCAAGGGUUUGCUUCGCUUAUCUGCAUAGCUCUUUUGUGGAUCUCGAGAUGCUCUCAGUCUUUCUCAAAUUUGGACGAUCUUGUCUGUUUUUUCCCUUAUGAUCUUAGGGUCGGUGAGAGUGCUGUCAGGAACUUGCCCCCUUGUUAGUUGCGUGUCACCCACUUUAGCCCAACACAGAGGUGAUCUGCACUUGGGCUAUAGAGUGCUUCAAAUGGAGAAAAUCUGAUGCUAGUAUGAUAGCUAUUGUUGUAUAAGAACUCGAUGAGGGGUAAAUGGGUAUCCCAAGCUUUACCAAAGUCUAUCAUGCAAGCUCUCAACAUAUCCUCUAAUGUUUGGAUAGUUCUUUCGCUCUGCCCAUCGGUCUAUGGGUGGUAGGCCGUACUCAUGUCCAACCUAAUUCCCAUGGAUUUUUGUAGUGACUGCCAAAACUAUGAGGUGAAUCUACUAUCCUUGUCAGAGAUAAUGGAUAUUGGCACUCCAUGCAAUCGCAACGAUCUCUUUAAUGUAUGUCCUGGUCAGUUUCUCCAUCUUGUCCAUCUCUUUUAUUGGUAGGAAGUGUGCGUAUUUGGUCAACCUAACGAUGAUCACCCAGAUGAUGUUAAGUCCACCCAUCAUCUUCGGUAACUUGGUUAUGAAUUCCAUGGUUAUUUGUUCCCACUUCCACUUGGGUAUCUCUGGUUGCUGCAGCAAACCUGAGGGCUUCUGAUAUUUUACCAUAACCUUGGCGCAAGUCAGGCACUUUCCCACAUAGGUAAUGAUUUCGGAUUUCAUGCUCAGCUACCAAUAAAGUUUCUUGAGGUCCAGGUACAUCUUGUCUGAAUCGUGGUGAAUGCAGUAUCGAUUCUUGUGAGCCUCGUUCAUGACAACAUCUCUGAAUCCCCCAAACUUCGGUGUACAGAUCCGAUUCAUGAGAUAACGAACUCCAUCACUCUUGACUUCUACAUUUUUAUCCAUCCCACUUAAGGAUUCACCUAUGACAUUUUCUGCUUUCAAGGCUUCCAGCUAAGCCUCUUUGAUCUGCAUGGAUAUGUGUGAAUGGAUAGUCAUGAUUAAUGAUUUUACUCGGCUAUUCCUUUUGGACCAUGGCAUUUGCUACUACACUGGCUUUACCUGGAUGAUAACGAAUCUCACAUUUGAAAUCAUUUAGGAGUUCUACCCAUCUCCUUUGCCUUAUGUUGAGCUCUUUUUGGUUGAGGAUGUGUUGGGGGCUUUUUUGAUCGGUGAAUAUAGUGCAUUUUGUAUCAUAAAGGUAGUGUCUCCAGAUCUUCAGGGUGAACACCACUGCUCCCAGUUUAAAUUCAUGUGUUGUGUAGUUAACCUCGUGAGCCUUUAGCUGCCUCAAGGCAUAGGCAAUGACAUUUCCUCGUUGCAUAAGCACACACCCAAGGCCCUGGUUUGAUGCAUCACAAUAAACCACAAAGUCUUACGUUCCCUCUGGAAGGGAAAAGAUCGGAGCACUGCAUAGAGCGUGUUUCAGUGUUUGGAAGGCAACCUCUUGUUUAUCACCCAGAUGAAUGUCGCUCAUUUCUGAGUCAAGGUGAUGAGUAUUUUAGCGAUCUUCGAGAAGUUUUGUAUGAACCUUCGGUAGUAGCCAGCGAGGCCUAAGAAUUGACAGAUUUCAAUAGGUGUCCUUGGUGCUGCCCAGCUUUCAAUUGCCUUCAUCUUGGACGAGUCCACAUGUAUUACCUCUUUAUUGACCACAUGACUUAAGAAAUCCACCUCUCGGAUCCAAAAUUCACAUUUGGAAAACUUGACAUAUAGCUUUUCCGUCCUCAAUGUCUCCAGGACUUGUCGCAGGUGUUGACUGUGAUCUUCCUUACUUCAUGAAUAGAUUAAUAUUUCAUCGAUGAAUAUUGUCACAAAUUUAUCUAAGUAGCAUCGGCAUACCCGAUUCAUCAGGUCCAUGAACACAGUUGGUACAUUUGUGAAAGAGAGGCGGAUCACCACGAACUCGUAGUGACCAUAGCGGGUUUGAAAUGUUGUUUUUGGAAUAUCUUCCUCCUAGACUCCUAGAUGGUGGUAUACCAACCUCAGAUCCAUUUUUGAGAACCAGCUUGCUCACUGAAGUUGGUCUAACAGGUCGUCAAUUCGGGGUAGGGGAUAUCGGUUCUUGAUGGUAAGUUUAUUCAGCUCCUGCUUCUUAUCUACCACAUCAGCUAGAAACGCGUUGUAUUCCUUGCGUAGGUACUUUUGGGCUUUGACGCAAGAGAUGAUUUGUAGCUUUGCAUCGGGUUUGUCACCACAAAUGACAAGGGUUUCGUUACUUGGAAGAUUGCCUUUUCAUAGCACAUGAUAUUGGCGUGGUAAAGACUUAACCAAUACAUGCCAAUAAUGACAUCAAAGCAUCUUAUAGUGAUUGGCAUUAGAUCGAUUUUGAAGGAAUGUUCAUUUAGUGUUGGGGUGCAUCCUAUCUACAUGUCCUUAGUGCUUUCUAUUUUACCGUUUUCCAUUUCUAUUGCAAAAUUUCAUUGAGUGAUUGUGGUUUUUCAUUGAGUAUAUGUUUAAAUUUGAAGGUUAAACGAGAAAGUCAAAGUUUAAAGUCAAAGGUCAAACAUGAAAGUCAAAGUCAAAAUUUUAGGUCAAAAGUAAAAAAUGAUAGUAAAAAAUUAAAAGUCAAAGCUUUGGGUUGAAAAUGAAACUUUAAAAUUUGAAUAUUAGACUUUUGGGCUAAAAUUGUCAAAAUUACGAAACUGCACCGAAAAUACGAUAUUAGAAUUAAAUCGGGAAGAAAUAUGACAUGAGGUUUGCUAGAUGGAUUGCUAAGGCGUGGGUUGUGUAUACACAUGACCCAGGUUCGAAUCUUGCUACAAACCGGAUUUUUAAUUUAUUCGUUGUUGGCCACGAUGCGAAGGCUGGAUCCAAAGUGCCGAGGAACCCUAAUCCAAGAUUUCGGCUGCUGCCGUGAGGACCGAGGUCUGACCGAAAACGUGAAACCCUAGCCGGAAACGACUUUGAAACCCUAGACGUAAACGAGUUUUUGGCUGCAAACUUUAGCCGUAAAUGAGUUUUCGGCUGCAAACACUAGCUGCAAACGUGUUUCCGGCCGAAAACCGCCGCCAGACCUUUGCAAAUUAUGUCAAAAAAACGCGAUUUUCAACAUUUUUAGCUCCAAAACGCGUCAAAAACUCAUUUUUAUGAAAAACACGAAGAACAACCCCCCAAUACUUUGUAAAAAACUAUCCAAAAACAUAAAAUCCUUCAAGAAAAAGUGCAAAAAUGCUCCAGAUCUUGCUAAAGAGAUUGAUACAAUCCGAGCUUUGAUACCAACUAUAAGUCCUAAAUUUUGCUUGAUGUAUCAAUCAAAUCCACUUGAUGGUGUGGAAUCCCAAUCAAGUGGAUGAUGCAAGAUCAAAUGGAGAAGAAUGAGAAGAAGAUGAUGUGAAUCUAUGAUGUAUUGAUGAUAAGAUUGAUGCUCCAACACAAGAUUCACAUACACGAACUCUUCUUCUCUCUAACUUUCUCUCUCUACAACUUGNCCGCAAACUCAAGACCCAAACCAAGUGCUAGACCAAAAACACAUGGGUUUUCAGUCCAAGCUACAAAUAAACUAAAUAUUAUUUUCGACCCAAAACUAAAAAUAAUAAAUGCUUAGAAAAGCAAAGUAUAAACCAUAUUUUUGACCCAAGAAGGCAACACAGGUGGCAGGACGUACUCAAGGAUUAUAACUGCAAGAUCCUUUACCAUCCGGGUAAAGCAAACGUGGUGGUAGACGCCCUGAGCGAUAAGUCGGCUGGACCUUCUGUUGAGGUGGCGUUUAUGAGGAUACCCAUGGAUUCUCUACUUGUGGGUUUGAUUAGGGAAUCUCAGACUGAGGGUGUCCAAGAGUAGAAUUGAACGAUUGAGAGGAUCAGAUGAGAUCACCAUAUUUGUAUCGGACAGUCAUGGAUUGAUGACCCAUUAUAGACGGGUGUCGGUUCCUGUGUCUGGUGGGGUCAGAGAGAUUGUGUUGGAGUAGGAUCAUAAGUCUCGUUUUUCUAUCCAUCUGGGGGCCUCCAAGAUGUAUCGUGAUCUAAGAUUGAGUUAUUGGUGGCCGUUCAUGAAGAGAGAGAUCUUUUGGUAUAGUGAGAGGUGCUUGACCUGGAGGAUGGUCGUAGCCGAGCAUCAGAGGCCGCAUGCCAAGCUGCAGCCCCUGGAGGUUCCCAUAUGGAAAUGGGAGCAGAUUUCUAUGGAUUUGAUCACCAAGUUGCCGAAGACGACAUGGGGUUUUGGUGCUACUUGGCUCAUCGUGGAUCGAUUGACCAAGAGUGCCCAUUUUUCGGAAAUUCAGGAGAGUUCGUCAACCGAGAAGUUGGCCGAUGUGUACCCACGAGAUCGUUACUCGCCAUGGGGUUCCUGUCUCUAUUGUCUCAGACCGUGAUGUUUAGUUCACCUCCUAUUUUUGGCAGAAGUUACAUGAGGAACUGGGCACGAUGCUGCAUUUUAGCACAUCAUAUCAUCCGCAGACCGACGGCCAGAGUGAGCGGACCAUUCAAACUCUUGAGGAUAUGUUGCAUGCUUGUGUUAUUGAUUUUGGUGGGAGCUGGGAUUCUUACCUACAUCUUGCAGAGUUCUCCUACAACAACAGUUUCCACUCCAGUAUUAGUGCCCCGCCUUUUAAGCUUCUGUAUGGACAGAGAUGUCGUACCCCAGUCUGUUGGGGAAAGGUUGGCCACAAGCUCAUGGAUCGGACCGAGGUGGUUCUGCAGACUAUGAAGAUGAUUCGACAGAUCAGGAAGCGAUUGCAGACUACUCAGAGUCGACAGAAGAGUUCUACCGACCGGCACCGAUCCGAGUUGGAGUUUCAGGUCGGUGACAUGGUGUUAGUGAAGGUCUCACCUUGGGAAGGUGUGAUUUUAUCAGGAAGAGGGGGAAGUUAGGCCCCUGAUUUAUUGGAACAUUCCGGGUUAUUUCCAGGGUUGGCAAGGUUUCUUAUUGGUUGAAUCUCCCAGAGGAGUUGAGUCAGAUCCAUAGCACUUUGCACGUAUCGCAGUUGCGGAAGUAUGUUUUGGACGAGGAUGCAGUGCUAUCAUUGCAUGAUAUUUAGGUGGAUGAGUGCCUGAACUAUGAAAAGAGGCUGGUAGCUAUUCUAGAAAGGAAGGUGAAGAUUCUGCAUAGCAAGGAGAUACCUUUGGUAAAGGUAUAGUGGCAGCAUCGGACGGGAUCCGAGUGGACCUAGGAGCCGGAGGCUGAGAUGCGGGAGUAUUAUCCGAAUUUGUUUACAGUAACAGUCUUCGUGGAGGAAGUAUAGUUCGACGGGGGGAGAUUUGUAACAUCCUUUGAUUCCAGGUAUUUUCAAAUCCUUCCCUCAGUAAUUAAUACAUCAUGUUGGUCUUUAAAUUUGGUGGAAUUUAGCCCUAAGAGGCCUGAGGGGCAAAUUGGUAAUUUUGGUCAGAGGGGGAGUACGCUAGGUGUACAUAUGAGUACGGUAGACAUACUAGGUCGCGCCCUAUUACGCAGGUCAUACAUAUAUUUACGCAGGGCAUACUUAUGUCCGAGUGCAACCCUAACUUUUAGAGUUUGUUGGGUAUUUAAACCCCAUUAUGGACCCUUUACCCCCAUCCUUUCAGCCUCCAAGUCCUGAGAUCAUUUUUGGCAAACCCUAGCUUCUCUUUGGUGUGUGCGUGAGAGCUAAGAGUGUGUUUCUUUUGUGGUUGAAGAAGAAUAAGUUGCAUCAAGGUGUUUGGAGAGCGAAGUAAGCUUGUAGAUCUGGGAUCAUCUUGUCAUUUAGAAGCUCCAAAAGGUAAAAAGCUUAUGCCUUUGUGAUUAUAUUGUUUAGAUCUUGUUUUGAUAGCUUUUUGGAGCUCUUCUUGUCCCAAAAGUCCCAAAGUUGUCCAUGAUUUGUGUCAAACGUUUUGAGCUGUCCUUUCAGAUCCUAAGAAGGGCUCUAAGUUAUAAAAAUGAGUUCCUUUGGCUAUUUUGGCUUCAUGUUGCUUAUCGGAGGUCUUAAUGGAUUAAGACCAUGUAUUAAGGACUUUUUAGACGUCCAAAUUCUUAAAGUUUGAGACUUUGUGGUUCUGAGAUACAUUUAGUCGUUGGAUCUGGAAAUUGGGCUUAAUUGCUUAAUCCGUUAAGCACUUAUUAGAGUUUUGAACUCUACGAGGGUACACUCCGCUUACAGGAGAGUGUACGUAGUCAACGCCCCCGUUUGCAAUCAAUGUGAGGCUCGCAUAUGCCCUGUGUAGCCUCAGUAUACGCCCAACGUACAUCUUUUGAUGGGCCUUUGCGAGUUGAGCUGCGGUUUUGGGCCAUCUUUGGGCCAGCACGUCUUGGGCCCUUGUUGGACUUUCUGAGUUUGAGUGUUGGGCCAGUUAGAAAUUUGGACCUUAGGAUAAGUUCGAAUAAAGAGUUGGGCCUAAUUUGGAAAAUUAGGCCAAUUAUGGGGCUUGCAUAUUUUGGACCUUUUGGAUCAAGGUUGGACAUGGGUUUGACCUAGUUAAUGAAGUGUUAAUGGAUAAUUAUGAGUUAAGGAAUUUGAGGUGAUAAUCCAAUUAUUAAUUAGAGGUUUAUUUAUUAUGAUUGUUCGAGAUUUUCAUGGGCUAGUGGUCGGGGGUUCUGUUUAAUACAUUAGUGAGGUGAGUUCUCCUCACUAUACUAACAUGGUCGAAGGCACCAAGGCCAACCCUUUGGAUUGUAUCCUAGUUUAUCAUAUGAUGCUAUGUGUAGUGAUCUGUUAGAUCUAUGUCCUAGCAUAUAGGAUAAUGCUAUGAUUGAUGAUUGGUUAGGCUUGUAUGAUUAUUGUAUGUGCUAGCUAUCGUUUGAUAUUUAUGUAAUGUUGUGUGAUGACGGGUGGUUUGAGGCGGUCCUAUUGUGUGCGGAAGGCUAACAGUCCCAGGGUAACCCGGAUAGACUGAAGGUCUAGUGGGGCGUACCAGUCAAGCCGAAGGCCCUGAGAACGGUCCUGAUAGGCUGAAGACCCGGUGAGGUGGUCCAGUCAUGCUGAAGGUCUUGUGAGCUGUCCAGAUAGGCUGAAGGCCUGGUGCGGUGGUCCAGUUAGGCUGAAGCUCUAUAUGCAUACUGUUUGUUAAUGAUAUUAUUCUGGUUUGUAUUGUGUUGGUAUUUUGGGGGAACUCACUAAGCUUUGGUCUUUCGGUUUUGUAUUUAUUUUUCAGGUACCUCUAAUGAUCACGAAAAGGAAAAGGCUUGAUCGUGCACCUCCUCACAUGUUGUGUUAUGAUUUUUAGGACUUCUAUGAAGUUAAACUAUUUUGAAAACAAUUUGUAAUAACUGGUCAUUUUUGGUAUUUUGAAAAGUUAAGAAAUUUUAUGAAUUUUAAGGGUGUUACAAUUUUUAAUAGGGAAAUAAACUAAAACUAAUAAAAAAGUAUAUAAAAUUAAAGUACAAAAUAUUAAAAAUAUACAAACUAACUAAAGACAUACAAAUUUGUUUUGGUACAAGAUUUGAUGCACAACAUACAAAUAAAUCAUAACAUGAUGAGAGAGAGAGAGAGAGAGUCUACAGAGAUACAUUUUCAGCGGGUUGGGUAACCCGCUAAAUCCUCUAAACAAGUGGCACCACGGGGGAAGGAUCCCUCAUCUUUGAGGUAUCCUCGGUAUCUCCUACCCAAACCAAAAUAAUACGACACUCUAUCCUCCCUUAGAGUUUUGAAAGCGACUAAAAAUAAAUUACAACAAACCAUGUUAAACAUCAAGCUCAAAAAAAUGUCCACCUAUAACAAAUUACACCUAAAAUCUAAAAGUCCAAAAACAAACAUUGUGGAAACAGACCCUAAAGCUUGUAAUACAUUAUUGAUGGGCGACAAGGUAGCUGUGUGAAGAAGGUAACAGAGGAGAAUUGGUGAAGGUUGGAGUUGUAGAGUAUGCCAAAGAAAGGGAGCAGAUAAAAUGAGCAACAGGCAUUUUAUCAAUUCAAAAAUGAAAAUAUACAUCGAAGUAGGGUUGCAAUUUAGGAUAUCAAAAAGUUAUAAGUAUAUUGGUGUGUGGGUGGGGGGUUGUAGAUUGGGUAGAGCAGAAAUAUAAAUUUAGGCUAGCCAGAUUGAAAAUUUGGGCAGUGGGAAUGAAAUUAAAAUAUAAGAGGUUAUUAUUGAAACCACUCAAAAUAACGUGUGUGUGUUUAUGUAUUUAUAUUCAAGAUAGCAACAGAUUAUACAAGAUACACUCCUAUAGAAAAGGAGUUGAUAAAUACAAUAAUAUAAUCCUUAAUUAUCUAAUAACCCCCUCAAGCAAAAGGGUGGUGGACCGAGACGAAGGAUAGAACGAAAUUGUUCAAAUUGAGGUCGUAGAAGACUCUUGGUGCAAAUGUCAGCCACCUGAAGCUUGGGUGGGAUGAACUUGGUAUAGAGUUUACUAGAGGAAACAAGUUCACAGACAAAAUAAUAAACGAGAUCAAUAUGUUUUGCACGCUUGUUUGGACUGGAUUUUGUGUCAUAAAUAAAGCACUUUUGUUAUCACAUAGCAAAGUUGGUCUAUCAGGUGGCAAAAUGUGUAAUUCCCGUAAGAGAUGAGUGAUCCAAACAAUAUUGGUUGUCGUGUUAGCCAUCGCUCGAUAUUCGGAUUCACAACUAGAUCUAGAUACAGUUGUGUAACACAGGAAUUUUCAAACCAAUUUUUCCAUUUUUAAUUUCAUAAAACACAUGUCAUUUUAAAUAAACACCAUUUAAUAGUCAACAAAGUUUUCAAAACAUUAUCAAAAUCCAGGAUCCUCAUUCAUGACUCUUUUCUCUUACUUGUACAAUCGAGUCGCAGCAUUCCCGCGAUCCUAAUAAGAACCUAAAACACAUAACACAUAACACGGUAAGCACGAAGCUUAGUGAAUUUCCCGAAAAUACCACGCACAAGUAAUUAGCCACUCGAGGCUAUAACUCGGUAAGACCCUCCGGUAAAUGUGUCUCAGUGGAACCCUCCAGUCCCACAGCUCGUUGGACCCACUGGUCCAGUCUAGGUGAGAACCCUCCGGUCUCACUGUUUGUUAGACCCUCCAGUCCGGUCUAAGUGAGGACCCUCCGGUCUCAUAAUUCGUUGGACCCUCCGGUCCUGUCUAAAUAUCACAUAAUAUAACACACAACACAUAUCACAUAGAAAAUGUACAACUCAAGCAAGCACAUACGACCCUCUGGUCACACAUAACUACCACUCUUGGUAAAGUAUAGUGAGAAGACUCGCCUCGGUUGACAAACAACCCCUAUAACGCUAUUUCGACACACCGGCCACUAACUCUGUGCCAAACUCACAAUUAUCUCAAUUAGAACUAAGUCCAAACUCUCACUCAUUGGGUCUAGAGGUUGAUCAAUAACCGACUCAUCACUGCCCUAAACUCAUUGGGCCCACCAAGGCCCAAUAAUAAAUGGGCCCUCUCAAGGCCCAAUUCUCAAACUAAAUGGCAGGGCCUACAUUAGAUAAACCCCCCAAGACCACUAAAGGCCCACUUUGCUAAACUGGGCCUACUCCCUCCAAUGGGCCUCACCCUAAGCCUAAAUAUAUACUUGGCCCAUAACUUCAUACUAUUGAUAGCCCAAUAGCUCAAGGCAUGGCCCAUAGGAUGGCCCAAAAUACAAAGUAUAACACAGACAAGUUAUGCGGGCGUACACCUGUGAACGCCAAGUGUACCGACUCGCUGGAAAGUACGCUGGGCGUACCUACACGUAUGCUCAGCAUAACCUUCCUGAUAAGCCCUUUUUCCAUUAAGUGCUUAUUAGUUCAUUCCAGAGGCUACAAACUCAGAUCCAGGUCCUUAUCAUCCUCUUAAUCCUUAAAGUCAUAAUCUUGGUGACUUGCAAUCCACCAAAUAAGCUCAAACUCAAAAGGCAACAACAUACUUCCAUAACAAGAGCUAGAUAUCAUGCAUGAACUCAUUAGGACCACCAAGAUUGAAACUUUACUGUUUAAGGGACCCUUUUAGCUCUGAGGGUGGCAACCCUAAGCUCAAAAAUGAGAUUCCAACAUAAUUAAAGGUCCAAACUUGGGACCAAAACAACUCCAAAACUUCACUACACAAGAUCUGUGCAUUCUUAAAUAAAGUUAUGAACUUUAUACCUCAAAAGAGUUCCAAAUGAUGAUGUUAUUCCAGAUCCAUGAGCUCCAAACUCCCAAGUUCUUCCUGGCCAACUUCCUCUUUUGCAAAUCCCAAGCUUACACCACCAAAUGAAUCUCUUGAAGACCAAAUCUCCCAAAAGGAAGAAGAUAUAAGGCGUUCAAGAGCUUCUCUGAGGUUGGGGAACAAACAUGGAGGCUAGGGUUUGAACCAUAAUGUUCUAUAUAUAGUGGCACACCCUACAUUUAGGGUUUAUGGACUCUGGACGUACGCUGGGCAUACGCCAAGGAGCACCCGCGACCAUUUCUCUUAUACGUUGGGCGUAAUCAUCCUUACGUUGGGCGUACCCACGCGCUUCCAUUUCACAUGCACGGCCUUUCAUGCCAACCUUUCACCUUAAGGGACCAUUUAUGUCGAAAACCUCCAAGUGUAAUAUCUUCCUCACCUGAUGUUCGUUUUCGGUGAACUUUAUAUCCACGAAAAGGUAACGAGAAGCUCUACACUUCUAUUAACUUUAUAUAUCCUAGAGCCCACUCAAGCUCAGAUCCAAAAUUUAUGAAAAGCCCAAACCAACACUUGUCGAUACCCUUAGGACCUAAAGCACAAACCGAACCAUUUUCUCACACAAUACACCUUAUCCAUAUCCAAGAAGGCCUAAACAUUUCUCCUUCAAAAUCUCGAAACCUUCUCAUAUUCAGGUUACGGCCCACGAGCCUUAAAUCACAAAACAAUCUGGAACAGGAUGUUACAAUUCUCCCUCAUUUAAAUUAGAUUUCGCCCUCGAAAUUGAUCCUUUUCUUCGCAUAGAUCGAAAAAAAUAACCCGAGAUGCUCAACCAGAAAAUCUAAUUAACAUUCAACGAUCCUUCUCCCAAGACAUCCGAAACCAAAUAAAAAUUUCCGAAGCCGAAGAAGGACAGACCCCUUUUUCCGUGAAGAUACCUGCUCUGACUCUCCAAAACUGGAAACUAUAGUGGUCUAUCUCCCCGGCAUACCGCCCAUGCCGAAUAUCACCCUGAUAAUCGCUCAUCGAACAACAGACAUGGAUAAAAUACUCCCAACUCAGAGUACCAGGUCAGCUCCUGACCCAACGGUUGAACCUCCAAGAGCUACGCCUUUCACACCCAAUAAAAUGACUUUACAACCCUCCUGCUCAUAAUAACUAUCUCAGCUCAUUACGACACAUAAGUCAUAUAGUUUGCUUUACCCCAAGCCGGACACUACAACCCAUCAGAAAUCGAUCCACUCCGAUCUAAGAUAUCAGAUGAAGAUCAACACCCUUCUACAUGGAUCCCAUCUCUGAAUCCAGAAUCUCAUUUUCCCUACCCAACGCACCACCGGAACCAACUCAAACUUGGGAGUCAGGUCCGACACAGAAUUGGAACCACUCGUCCUAAUGAACCACUCAACUCAUGACUCAUGACUCGUAACUCAUGCGUACACCACUUCUUCUAUUCCCUUUGAUCGUGACAACCAUAAUUCACCCAGAAUAUAACAAUUAAUGACAAAAUGGAGACCCCAGUCUCGCCCCUGGUUCGACCAUCAGGCUCUCAAAAACUCAAAUAUUAGGGCUCCCCAAGCCCAAAAAUCUUCCGCGUCAUGAUCUGAAUAGAGAGUACUCCAUCACAACACUCUCUCGCUGACUAGUGAGUACUACGUCUCUCCGCAGCAUCACAACAACCUGUCACUGAUUAGUGAGUACUACUGCUCUCCGCAGCAUCACAACAAUCUCUCACUAAUUAGUGAGUACUACGCCCCCCGCAGCAUCACAACACCCUCUCACUGACUAGUGAGUACUACGGAUCCCUGCAGCAUCACAACAACCUUUCACUGACUAGUGAGUACUACGACUCCCCGCAGCAUCACAACAACCUCUCACUGACUAGUGAGUACUAUGGCUCCCUGCAGCAUCAAAACAACCUUUUCACUAACUCACUAAAACUGCAGCUCUCCGUAGUCUUACUGCACUUGCUCUUAUCAAUUCACGAUCUCAUCCUCAGGUCAACGCAACACGGCAAUCAUUAAAUCAUAUCCUGCGGACCAACCAAAGAUGGUGUACACACUCACCGAAUUUAUGCAUCACUAUUUCUGACGACAUCCAUCUUAACAAAACACCUUUCCUACUGCAGUCCACAUUCACAAAUAAUCUCGUUUGAUGCCAAUUGGCCGAAGGGAUCCUACCGGAACCGUAAAUAAUUGAUACCCUACUUGCCAUUUCAAACUAAAACUCAAAAUAAUCUGAGAUUUAGGACAUUAUACUCGAAUACCCCGGUGCACCAUCACCGCACCUCGCAAUGUCUCGACUCUACCACUGAUCUCAUACUCGUGGCAUCAUACUCAGAUACUGUAUUGCUUCCUUGAACUCUCGCAACCGAUCCUCCUUUCGUGCUACUUGCAACCCGGAAUACUCCAUUUCCAAUUUGAAACACGGAGAAAUCGCCAACGACUCAGAAUACGAAGUUGGCCCUUUCCAAAGAGCAUAAAAUAAUCCAUUCAUCGAACUAAAAUUUCUCAACUACCGAAGGAUUCUCACAAGCCAACCACUCCGAAUUCACCAUUACAGCCAAAAAAAAUUUCUUACCUACCACAAGGCCUCUGACCAACGACCACCUACCGUGCAGACACUCAUCCUUUCUUAAACACGUACAACAUGCAUUAACUCAUUCUGCAACUCACCUCGACCACCAAUAACCCUGGUCUCAUGAAUUCAUAGUGCAUGUCUCUAUAUCCAUCUCCCUAACCGUUCUUGAGCAAGUCUCUGAUCCUCUCAAUUAAAAUACCCGGUUCUCCCCCACUUAGGGUUCGAACCGUCACCAGUUGGCGCAUAUAUAAUCUAUUCCACAGACUUUUUCCACCGGAACAUAACACUUACUCUUGGAAGGUACUACUCAAUGCUCGAUGGUAUCCCUGAUAGAGACCCCGCAAAUCCAUGCAUCUCGAAUUUCAGAUGAUAUCCUCAUAAACUCCUCAUUAUGAUUGCCUCUAAUCAUACAGAAUCUCACUCCAUCCCAUUACCAGACAUCUCAACUGUCUAGUAGUAACCCUGACUCAUAAUCUGACAAUGAUGACCUAUCAUACCCCAUAUCCUCGACUCCUCAACCAAUGUUCCAUCACACAAGUUAUCAUAAGAGAGGAGUCCUCAUUACCACACUUGAUACCCAUCAUAGACAAUAAGAGCCACCACCCCAAUAUAGUCCUCUUGAUCGCCUAACGUUGUAGCUGGCACAUGCGCUACUAUACUCAAAUAGAGUGCACCCUAGUCCUUGACUAUCUCAGUCACCAUUGACAACCUGUUCAUGCUAUAUCAUUGCCUUACGGCAGACAUACUGCCCAAAAACUUCGGGGGAAGAUCACCAUCAAUGCUAAACCGCAAGGUUUACUCCCAAGCUCAAAACCGAAAUCUCAACACCUCUUAUGUUUCCCACAGGAAAUAGAAAUAGCACCACUCAGGUUACCGAAAGUGACAUCUCCCUUAUCGAUUGAUUGCCCAACUCAGGUCGCAAUCCUCCAUAAACACCAUCUCUACCCAUCCUUGAGUCUUGCAACUCAUCUGACAUACCUUGGAAUUAUCUCAACUUACCUCACAAGGGAUGCUUCGUUGGAACUCGUUCCACAUGACCCCUCUGACCUCAUACACUAUCGCACCCGAUCUCGGUAUAACCAAACACAACGGAAUAACUGGUAGAACCAGUAACACUAACCACCACAGUCAUGGUACUCGAACCACAUGGCCACCUCUCGAUUUGCUAUAAACCAUGAUGCCCGAACCAUGUUAUCUCUUUUGACUCCACUACAAAGCAUGGUACUCGAACCAUGGCUUCACCAAUCAAGCUGCUACUUAAUAUGGUACUCAAACCAUGACAUCACCUCUCAAUCUGCUACUAAUCAUGGUACUCGAACCAUGACAUUCUUCUCAAUCUGCCACCAAUCAUGGUACUCGAACAAUGACUUCACCUCCUAGCCUGCUACUUAGAAUCUCCAGAAUACUCCCUGCAUCAAGUAUUGGUCCUCUGCUUUCAGUAGUACAAACCCAUACUACCUGCCACAUCUACCCAUACUUUCUACACGGACCAUCCCAAAUUUCCUAAGUAGUUGCUCAACCUUCUCGUACGUCCAUCGCAUUACAUGUGUUCGCUCCCUAGCGAAAUGCUCUACCAUGUCAGUGCAUUCAUCUAGCCACAGUCACCCCCUAGGCUCUUCCUAGGUGCUCACACUUCUCCGCCAUUAGCUGCUGAGGAACUCCUAAUGAUGCCAACCGUCUACCUCCUGAAUAUCGUCAUAUUCACUUAGUAGUUGACUCCCAUCACUGAGAGUUCCAUAAAGCACGAAGCAAGCAUCAUUCGGGCAUUGAAUAAUCUCUGUAAUGUCCUAAAAUGGAUCUUUACCAAUGAUCAAGCAAUCACAUAAUCACAGAAACAAGAAUAUGAGUAGAAUAAGAAUUGAAACCAGCUUGCAUACGUUUAUUACUUGAAAAACGUCAGACACAACUUGUUAAACUUGGUCGUGAACUGUCUAGCAUCAACAACCAAUAAUGACCUACACAAACCCUAUAUAUAAUAGACAAUGACCAUAAACUGAACUUGGGCCAGAAACUGGGUUUACAGCCGUAAACUAGUUUACGACCGUAAACUCUCCAUUGACCGUGAACCCAACUUUGACCUACUAUUACACCAAAAAUGCUCAAAAGAACUAUUACAAUUAAAAGCCUAGACCAACCCAUUAAUUGAGCCCUUCAAUCUCCCCCUUGGUUUGGGGCUAGCUUGUAUUGAAUCUUUGUCGACCACUAGCACAUCUGACUUCCCCAUUGCUCCGUUCCACAUCCGCUUGUUUAUAAUAUCUGUAACCAUCAACGUAUACUCUUUAGCAGCCUGCUCAAUAAUUUCCUCGGAAACUUUAAUUUUAUGAAGACUCAGUUGAUGGAUAUCCCAUUUCCCGAAAUGGAACAGAUUUCUCCGGUCAUAUAGAUGAAUGCAUCCAUCUUUGAGCUUCAUAACCGCGGAGGCUGUUGUCUCGUCAAAUACCCAAUAAAGCAUGGAGCUUAAAGAUCCAUCUGGAUAGUUUUAAAGUACUGGGAUUUGCUUAGCCUGACUAGUAGCAGGCCACGUCACAACUUGAAGUGGACAACCAGUCUUGGGAUCAAUCACAUCAGGAUAAUGCUUGAUAAUAGACUCUGCAGUCUUCAUCACCUGAAAGCCUUUCUUCACUUGGUCUUCCAAGAAGAGCUUGAAGUGAGUUGCCUUUGGAUCUUGUGAGGGAUUUGCAAAAGGAAGUUGAGAUAACUCUGAAAGAUCCACCCUAGUCCAUGAAUGGAAGUCAUGACAGUCUUUGUACAAUUCAGUGUUGUCACUCUUUCUUCUCACAAUCCACAUAUUCAACGUGUCAUGAAAUCCCCAAGAAAUGAUUCCGGACCUAUCACCAUAUGUAUCUCUAAAACGUCUUUCUUUGAGAUCAGUAACAGUGAUUUUUGGUUGAUCUCCAGGUGCAUUUUGAUCCGAGCUCUUCUUAAACAAAAGUUUUCCCUUCUCGGCAGAUUUAGCAAGUCUAGCACAUUUAAGAGCAACGACGUAAGGAGCUUGAACAGGCUCUACCUCAAAACGAUCUACAAUGCAGGAUGAGUGAGCAGAUGGUGGUACAGCUGCAGGAUCUUGAGAUGGAAGAAACAUAUUCGAUUCAUCAAUAGAGGGCUUAAACUUGUCACCAAGUUCUUUUGUCAAUUUCUUCUUUAGGUCGAAAUAACAAGCUGUGAGGAGACCAAAGUGAGUCUGAAGAUUUGAGAUUUGCUUGGUCUUUAACACCUUAUCUUCUACAAGAUCAAACACUUGAGUCUUGAGCAUGAUAUUUUCACUCAUAAGAUCAACCACCUUGAUGUCAAGCUCAAUGUUCUUUUGAUUUAGCACAAAUAUUUCCUUUCGGAGCUCAACGAUAGAAGGAUUGUCUUCUCCUGUGAUACCUUCCCUAAAAGAAAUUCCUUUGGCUCUGGGGGGAAGGCAUUUUAUCUUGUUCAUGGGCCAAAUGCAAGGCUAGCCUUACGAAGGCGGCAUCAAGAUCUGGUCGUGAAGGAGAGAAUCUUGUUGGAGCAGAAGGUCCGCCUGCUUCAUACGAGGUGUUGGGCCUUCACUGAAAGGUUCUGUUGAGACAAUAGCAGGAGUUGUGGUUGGAGGAAUUUGGAGGUCUUGAAGUAAACCAGAGUCAAGAAUUCCCUGCCUGGGAUCACGUCUUCUUCUUUUCAGAGGAGGUUGAGAGGUUGGAGUUGUUGUAUGAUCACUCUGAAGUGGUUCUGUAGUACGAGAUACAAUGUCAAGGGAAGGAUUCCCUGACACCGUCACCAUAGGAGUUGUUGUUUCAACCACUUGUUUAGUAGUAGGAGGCGUUGAUUCGAGAACAUCAUUGGAGUCUCGUAUAUCCGUUGUUGGGUGAGCAACAUCAUCGAUAUUGUCAAGCAGCGAGUUGAGAUUUUCAGUUGACAAGUAAUCUUCAUUGCUUCCAAAAUUCACCGGAAUUUCAUCUCUAUCAAAACCAGUGAGAUCAAGAUCUUCAUAUAAGUCAGUUUCAGUUGCACUCUUUAAAGACCCUUCAUUAUAAUCACUUUGCACAGGAACUGAUGUCAGAUCAUGUUCCUUAGCCACAGCUGCAAUGGGAACUGCUGUAUCUUCUUCUACUUCGUCAUGUUCUGACACCGUGAUCACCUCAUCUUCUGAAAUCAUCUUUUCUGAAGAAGCGGGCUCAGAGGAUAUUUUAUCAGACAAUCCAUGAGACUCAGAGCUCUCGUUUAGUUCAACAAAUUUUCCAAACUUCACAAGCGGAUGCAAUCCUUCAAAGAUGAUUUUACCCUUGCGAUUUUGCUUUAUGAGUCCAACAGUAUGAGGACCUAGUGACUUCAUAUCUAGGGUUUCACCCUCCUUGACCAUCUCAGGGAAUUGAGUGUUGAUAAACAUUUGGAUGAACCUCAGAUACAUCAAGAAAGUGUCUCGGGUUGUUGCAUUGAUGUUCACUAGGAUUCAAACCAUAAUGUUCCAUGUAUAGUGACACACCCUACAUUUAGGGUUUUUGGACUCUGGAAGUACACUGGGCAAACACCAAGGAGCACCCGUGACCAUUUCUCUUAUAUGUUGGGCGUACCCACGCGCUUCCAUUUCACAUGCACGGCCUUUCAUGCCAACUUUUCUCCGUAAGGGACCAUAUAUGUCAAAAACCUCCAAGUGUCAUAUCUUCCUCACCUGAUGUCCGUUUUCGGCGAACUUUAUAUCCACGAAAAGGUAACGAGAAGCUCUACACUUCUAUCAACUUUAUAUAUCUUAAAGCCCACUCGAGCUCAGAUCCAAAAUUUAUGAAAAGCCCAAACCAACACUUUGUCGAUACCCUUGGGUCCUAAAGCACAAACUGAACCCUUUUCUCACACAAUACUCCCUAUCCAUAUCCAAGAAGACCAAAACAUUUCUCUUUCAAAAUCUCGAAACCUUCUCAUAUUCAGGUUACGGCCCAUGAGCCUUAAAUCACAAAACAAUCAGGAGCAGGAUGUUACAAGUUGGUUGCUUCUUAGCACUCCAAGCAACUAAAUUGCCACCAAGAAAGAUUGAAUAACCAUAUGUGGAGCGACGUGUUUCAAUGCAACGAGCCAAAUCGGCAUCAUAAUAAACAAAAUGGUGUUUGUAUGUGGCCAAAAAAAAGUAAGACCAAACGUAAUAGUGCCUUUGACAUGUCGCAAGAUGCGUUUAACAGCUUGAAAAUGAUCAUUAGUUGUAGAAUGAAGAAACUGCCUGGAUUGAUUAACAACAUAAGAAAGAUCAGGUUGUGUGAUGGUCAAAUAUUGAAGAGCUCCUACUAAAUAACGAUAAAGAGUGAUAUCUUUGAAAGGAUAUAUGUUUGACGUGAAGACUUCAUGAGUUGCAAGUGGAGUAGACACAGGUUUAGAAUCUAAGAGAUCACUGUGAGCAAGGAUGUUUGUGGCAUAUUUGGAUUGACUUAAAAAGAGCCCAUGUGUAGCUGACUUCUAGACCAAGAAAAUAGCUUAAAUCACCUAAGUCUUUAAUUGCAAAUUCUUGAUGAAGACGAGUGGUGAAGGCAGUGAGAACAUAUUCAUUGUUUCCAGUAAGAAUCAAGUCAUCCACAUACAUGAGUAAGUACAUGAUGCAUGCAUUCUGAGCAUAGAUAAACAAAGAUGGAUCAGCACGACUGCAAAGAAAUCCAUUUGAAUGUAGAAAUGUACUUAAACGAUGAAACCAAGAUCUGGGAGCUUGCUUUAGGCCAUAUAAGGCUUUAGAGAGUUUGCAAACAUGAUUGGGGAGGAUCAACAAAACCAUGUGGUUGCUCCAUAAAUACAGUUUCAUUUAGACAUCCAUGUAAGAAGGCGUUCUUGACAUCAAGUUGAUGUAAGCGCCAUUUAUGAAAUACUGAAAGAGUGAGAACUAUACGAACCAUGGAGGCUUUAACAACUGGACUAAAGGUGUGAGAAUAAUCGAUCCCGGGAAUUUGAGUGAGCCCUUGAGCAACUAAGCGAGCUUUGAGUCGUUCUACGGAUCCAUCUGAUUUGUAUUUAAUGCGGUACACCCAUUUAGAUCCAACAACAUUGGAAGCAGGUGGAGGUGGAACUAAAGUCCAUGUAUUAUUUUGCUUCAAGGCAUCCAUUUCUUCAUGCAUGGCAGCCAUCCAUGGAGGAUUUUUAGCUACUGAUUUAAAUCCUUUGGGUAGCAAGGAAGAAAGAAGUGCAACAUGUAAAGAAUGAGUGGUGAAGUAGGUAAAAUCAGGAAGAUAUCAUGCUUUACUAAUUCCUAAUUUAGACCAAGUGUGCAUAGGAUGAGAACUCGAUGAUCCAAGGGUAGGAGGCUCGUGGGUAAUUGGAGGUGAAAAAGGAGCAUCAGUUUGAACUUGGGCUGGUGUAGACACAACUAUGGUUGAGUCAAUAUCAGGUCUAUAUAAUCCACAAGGAGGAGAUGAAACAUACUCAGCGGGUUGUGGACUUGGCCGAGAAGUUGAUGAAUCAGACCUGGUCGCGUCAACAAGAGUUUCUUGCAGUAAAUCGGGAAUGCCAUCGUUAACACAGGCGUAUAAAGUCCAGCUUGAAAAAUGUUGAGAAUUUGUGGAACCCAUAAAUGGAAGAGAGGUUUCAUCAAACCUUUCGUGUCGAGUGAUGUAGAUUCUAGAGGAUGAUGGAUCAAGACACUUGAAUCCUUUAUAUUGUGAGUGAUAACCAAGAAAAAUGCAUGGAAUACUUCUUGGAGCGAGCUUGUUUGCUUAAUAAUCUCUUAGAUAAGGAUACACUCGACAUCCAAAAGUGUGAAAGUUUUCAUAAGAUGGCAUUCGAUUAUAGAGGAGCUGGAAUGGUGACUUUUGUGAGAGAACUUUGGUAGGCAAUCGAUUUUUGAAGAACAUUGUUGAAAUAAGAGCAUCUACCCAAUAAGAUGAAGGUGCGUGAGCAUGAAAUAACAUAGUAAAUCCUAUUUCAACAAUGUGAUGGUGCUUUUGUUCAGCACGUUCAUUUUGUUGAGGGGUGUAAGGACAAGAUAAUCAGUGAAAAGUGCCAUUUUCUUUAAGUAUUGUUCGAACUGUGUUGUUAACAAAUUCAGUGCCACCAUCACUUUGAAAAACUUUGAUUUUUCUAGAAAAUUGAGUUUACACAAGUUUGAUGAAGGCUGUUAAUACCGAGUAGAAACCUGAUUUGGUUUUCAAGGGGUAAAACCAUGUGAAACGUGAGUAAUCAUCAACGAAAACUACAUAAUAUAGAUAGCCAUUUGAGGAAACAGGUGUUGGUCCCCACAAGUCACUAUGAAUUAAAUCUAAAGGAAAUAGAGAGCGUUUAGAAUUUAAUUCAAAUGGUAAUUGGUGUCCCGUAGAAAGCUGACAAGGUUUGCAAAUGUUUGGUUUAGGUAAAACUGGAGUAACAUGUAAAACACCUAAUUUGUUCAAAAAAGAAAUAACAUCAAAGGAAACAUGUCCAAGGCGAUUAUGUCAUAAUUCAAAAGAAGCCUUCUUAGAAACACUAGAAACUGUAGCCAAAGCGGUUUGACAAUCACGAAGCACAUAGAGUCCCUCUUCACAUGUUCCUUGAGCUAUCACCUGCUUGUUUGCCCUGUCCUGAAUAUGAAAAAAAUGGUUGAGAGAGGAGAACAUCAACCGGAUGAUCCAUGGUGAGUUUACUAAUAGACAAGAGAUUUUUAGUGAGCUUGGGAAUAACCAAUACAUCACGUAAUUCGAGUUUAUUAGAAAGAUUAGAACGACCCAUAUGAGAAAUAGAGAGUUUAGCACCAUUACCAACAGUGACAUGCAUAGUACCCGAAUAAGGAGUCGAAGAAGAAACAAUUUCUGAUGAAGGUGUCAUAUGAGUUGUGGCACCGGACUCAACAUACCAGUCCGGGUUUCCUUGAGUAACAUGGCACUGUGAGUGGAAGGCUUGUGCAAGAUUGGCAUCCGAGUUUGAAGCAUUUGAAGCAUACGUAUGUAGAUUGGGACAUGAGGAUGCGUAGUGACCAUUUGUACGACACAGUUGACAAUGGGGGGACGCCUACCCCCACGGCCCCUACCACCAUUAGAAGAAGCACGAGAACCUCCUCCUCUUGAGUAGGAUUGCUGACGGCCUCGAGAUGUAGUAGAACAGGACUAUUGAGAGAUAAAAGCAACAAGAGGAGUGGAACCAAUUUACAUUAAAUAUCAAAGAGGACCUAAUUUACAUUAAAUGGAACCCAGAUUUCUUUGAAAAGUGGAAUGGUUAUAUAACAAUUUAAACUUUAAAGAUUUGCAGACAUGAUAACGUAAAGGUGAUGUUAAAGUAUUGUAUUGUAUAACUCUAUAAAACAUAAAUUCAUAAACAACAAAUUUUUUCCAUGCACAAUAAUUUAUGCAUUAAAGCAGUAUAUUGCACAACUCUAUAAAACAUAAAUUAUUGUCUAUAGAGAAAAAUUGUUGUCUACGAAUUACUUUCCUAUCGUAAAAUUCCAUGGAAUCGUAAUUAAAUAGACAUGCUUUUUAAGUGACAAGUUUUUACAUUUAAUUAUGGCUUUUGAGUUCAGUCCUUUUACGGAUAGUUUAGUCUCGAGUUCUGCAUUUAUUCUUGAUUAUUUUUUAUCUUCAAUAAAUAAAUAAAUAAAUAUAUAUAUAUAUAUAUGUGUGUGUGUGUGUGUGUGUNNNNNNNNCACUACAUGAAUAAUAAGCAUUAGCGGUGACACAUAACUUUCGCGUUAUGUGUCGCCGCUAAACGCGUCGCAACUAAUGCCUAUAGAUCGCGAUCCGCGUCGAAAUAUGAGGUGAAACGUUAUUAGUCGAUUUUGUCCCUUAUCCAAUGACCAAAAAUCGAUAACAUAGAUACGAAUAGCGGUGACACCAAUAACGGCGAUGGUGUCGCUGCUGAUACUCGAAAAUUUUGACUGCCAAAGUCCCCCCCCCAAAAGGUGUCGCCGAUAAUACUCACAAAUUUUGACUAUCAAAAUUUCUCCCAAAAGGUGUCACCAGUAAUACUCUAUACGUCGUCGCUAGUACUCUGUCUGUCGCCGCUAAAAGUUGUCGCCUCUAAUUCCCUUUGUAGAUAUAACCCCCUUCAGCUCAUUUUUCCCUCUUUUUUGAACUCUUUCUCUCUAUAACCACGCCGACAACAAGAUCUGCCGAAAUUUGUUGUUGUCUGCCGAAAAUUGGCCAGAAAAUUAGUCCUACUGCCGGAAUACCGCCACCAGUGCAUCAUCACGCUUCUCCGCCGGAUUACAGACCACCACAAACAAUAUAUAUAUUUAUUUUAAUUUUUGUAUGUAGAAUGUAUAUUUUGUAAAUGUAUGUGUGUUUGUAUGUAUAUCUUGUAUGUAUGUAUGUAUGUAUGUAUGUAUGUGUAUAUAUAUAUAUAUAUAUAUAUAUAUGUGUGUGUGUUUGUGUGCGCGCGCGCGCGAGCGCGUGCGUGCGUGCGUGUGCGUGUGUUAUAUAUAAAGUAUGUGUUUUUGGUUAUAUGUUUUUAUAAGGUUUUUUAUAUUUUUAUAAUCAUAUAAAGCUUGUUUUGUAUAUGGAAUGAACGUUGUCAGAAAACUAAAAUUGGUGGCGGCACUUUAGUGGCGACGGAUAGUAUUGGCGGUGACAGGGCAUUAGUGACGACGGUAAACAUUAGCGGCCACAAUUAAAGCAUUUUAGUGGCGACGGGUCACCGCUAAAGAUUACAUUCGGGAACUUUCCAUUGGAAGGUGAUUUUGUAUUAGGAUUCCGAACUUACAAAAUCAGAAAGGUAAACAUAUAUUUUAUUAGGAUUUUUGUGGUGCAUAAUUGCUAUAUAUCUUGAUUAUAGGGGUAGUAAUAUUCGACAAAUGCAAGUUUAUCUCAGUCAAAUUUGACGUUAUUUAUGAUAGUCCACGAAUAAAGCCAGAUGAUAUCAUCUAUAAAUAAUAUCGUCUUUAAUGAUAAGAAUACACAAUUAUAUUUAUUUCUCAUGAUAUUUACAGUUUGUGUGAACCAAAGACAUACACGUUGUACAUAGUAAAUGUCUAGUUAUUUUGACAUCUUUUUUUAAGUCAAUACCAAGUAAAGUUUCGAAUAGCUUUUAAUUAUGACAAUUUUAAUAACUACUAGAAUGGAAUAUCGACUUCACUUUCUCAAGAGAACCUCAGUAACUAAUUUAUCAAAGUUGAGAUAAGACGACCCCUCAAUAGCAACUGCUUCUUCCGCUUUCUUCUUCCAUUCUAAAGCCUUACAUUUCAUCAUUUUCCCUUUCUUCCCAUCCAUCAUCUCCCUCACCUGAGCUUCAACCUCCUCUCUCUUCACAUUGGAAUCAAUUUCCAUUCCAAUCCCCCACUCUACACAACUAUACCGACAAUUCGUUUGUUGCUCUGCAAAAAACGGCCAGCAAAUCACUGGAACACCACUGCUAAUACUCUCAAUAGUCGAGUUCCAUCCACUGUGUGUUAGGAAUGCCCCAAUUGCUGGAUGCUUCAAAACCUUCAUUAUAUAUAGAAUUGAACUAUUUAAUGACUGAUUUAAAUUUAUGCGUGAUAUGGUAAGCAUAUUUCCAUCAAGGCUAAAGCUUGAACACCAUCUUAAAUGAUAUGUUUCUUAUGUAUUUAAAUAUUUUGUAUAUAGUUUUGGUUUUAUUACUCAGUGAUUAGAAAGAAUUAAUAUCACCUGUUCUUGAGGACACCAACUAGUCACCAUGCCUCUCCCUUUUGUCUCGUCAACAAACUCUGGUGGCAUCAUGGCCUCAUUGCCUCCAACAAUGUCGGGUCUUGUAAUCCACAAGAAAUCUUUCUUGCUAUUCGCCAGUCCCCACCCAAACUCGAUGAGUUGUUCUUUUGUCAUGACUGUAAUGCUUCCAAAGUUAACGUAAACAACUGAACCAGGGUCUUUUGUGUCAAGCCAACUGAUGCAACUCUCAUCUUCCUUCCAGAGGUUGGAGCCAAUGUGUUUGACCUGUUCAUUUUCAAUAUGUUGUUGCAUCAAGUGUAGAGGGCCUAUGGUGAAGGUUCUAGGAUUUAAG